CAUUCCUGAUCUUCAACAAGCCUAGACAUUAGAGACCUAAAAUCAGACACUUGACAAAACAAAUAGCAGCUGUUGCUCCCUCCUCCAACCAAAUCACCCUUCUCUUUGAUUAAAUACGCAAACACACACUGGGAGGAGAUAGCUAAAAUCCCCGAAUCUAACCACUUUGCCUACCAUAAAACCAUGUGAAAAUCCAAUUGAAAUCGCCACAAAAAUGUAAUGAAAAUCAGCUGACUGUUGGAUUCGUCAUUCGAGAUUUUAUUUAUGGUCGUUGUUUGGUUCCGAUGUUAAUAAAUCGCAAGCUGUCGACAUUUGGGAUAUAUAUGCUAAAUUGAUUUUUGGAUUGUUUGCCGCAUAAUUGGGAUUUUCUGGGUGUCCGAGUGUGAUUUCGACUUUAGAAACGGAAGCUGCGUGUGUUGACACUGCUGUUGUUGAGCUCCAAUCUACUGACGUCAGUGUGUAUUUGGCUUUCUUCUUCUAUUAAUUCGAACCUUGAGCAGCGAGGUAUGGAAUUGUGAUUUCCGUUUGAAUCCUUUGUAUUUUCAAGGUCUGUCAGCUAUUAGGAAGCUUCUAAUAUAACUCUGGGUACGCCCGAGGACGAAUGUUUGGUUAAGUUGGGGAGGAUGUGACGACUUGACACAUCGUCUUAUGUAUUACUGCUUUGUUUCCCCCUUAUUUUAUUGCUUCAUAUUUCAAUAUCGGUAUUUGAGUCGAUCGGGUGUAAUUGAAUUGGUAUUUGGUUGAAAAUAAGGCACAUAGCCUCUUAGAAGGAAGCUUGUUUUGGAAAAGUCAACCGGAUUGAUAAUAAACCAAAUCUUUAUGGUAAGGAUAUUAUUUAUUCCUGUAUAUGUUUGAGGUAAUGAGUCUUACAGGUGUUAUGCAGCAAAGCUUUUAAGUGUUGGCAGUUUGUUUAACUUAAUCUGGAUAGAAGAACUUAGUCCGAUUCGAUUAGCUUCGGGAUAUGAUUUGUGACUUAGGAGAGCGAUCAGAAUUGAAUUUGGAGGCCCGGUGAAGAAUUAGGCUUGAAUUGGCGAAGUUUGAAUUUUUGGCGGAUUCCGGUUGAUAGAUGAGAUUUUAAUCCAAGGGUCGGAAUAGAAUUACGAGAGUUGCAGUAGCUUUAUUAGGUAAUUUUGGAUAUGUCUGCAAAUUUUAAGGUCAUUCGGACAUCGUUUGGUCGGGUUUUUUAUCGAAUAUGAGUUUCGGAUGUUUUAAGAAAAUUUAAGCUUGAAUCCGUAGUAAUUUGAUGAUUUUUGUGUUGUUGUACGUGUUUUUAUGAUUGGAACAAGUUCGUAUGAUAUUUUGGGGUAUGUUGGUGUCUAUGAUUGAGGUCCCGGGGGCCUCGAGGUGAUUUCGAGUGUUCAAACGGACUAGUUUCGGCCUUGGGAGAGAUCAUAUUUUUGCUUUCAUAUGUUGCAGACCAUAAAGCAUCGCGAUCACGUGAGGAGUAACGCGAUCGCGUAGAGUAAUUUGAGGACCUGGAAUUCUUGUGCAUUGCGGUCGCGUGAAGGUUACCGCGUUCGCGUAGAGCAGGGAUGUUGUGCAUCCCGUUUGAAGGAGAAAUGUCGCGUCCACUUAGAUCAUUUGGACUGUUAAAAUUUUUUUGCCUUCGCGUUCAUGUGGGAGAAGUCGCGAAUGCGAUAAAGGAUUUUGGACCUGGGCAGAUUGUUUUUAAACCAUUUCAUCCGCGACUUGGGUUUAUUUUCCACCAUUUUUGAGCAUGCUUGGGAGCUUUUGGCAAGAAAUUAAGAGGGUUUCGAUUGGGAGUCGGUUGGAGGUAAGUUUUAUGAUUUAAAGACGUCAUUUAAUCGAAGAAUCAUCCAUUAAUUCUCUGAAUUUGAGUAUAAAAUUGAAGAAACUAGGGCUUGAGUUUUGACAUUUUCAAAUAGGGAUUUGGUAGGUCAUUUAAGCUUGGAUUUGGUAGUUCUUGGUAUGUAUGAACUCGUGGCGAGACGAGGUCUGGAAAUGUAAGUUUCGUAAUUUUCAAGAACCGGGCCCGGGGCUCGGGUUUUGCUAGUUUCGAGGUUUUUGCUAUAAUAUGAUGGUUUUCGAUUGGAUAUUGUCCCAUUUUCAUAUUGUGAUGUAUUCACUCUGUUUUUUGCUAGAUUUGACGCGUGUGGAGGCCUAUUUGAGGGGCAAAAUCGUCAUGAGCUUGCGAUUUCGCCGGUUCAAGGUGAGUAAUACUUGGGAAUGAUAUCCUGAGGGUUUGAAACUCUGUAUUUGCACAUCUUAGUAUUGUAUUGUUGUGACUUGCACGCUGGACCUGAGCGUGGGGUAGAGCACCAUUGGGAUUGUGACUUGGUUCGUUCCAGUUGUUAGUGUUUACCGCUAAAUUGUAAAUGUUUUGUUGUUAUCAUUAUGACUUGGUCUCAUUGCCAUACUUGGGGCAUAUUGCCAACUAUUUGAACCCUUGUUGAACUAUCAUAACUGUUCUUCCUCACUAUUUGAAAUAUCAUUGAACUCAGUCCAUGUGACUUACAUUGUUUAUUGAACUCAGCUAUAUUUUUACUUAAACUUGGAGUUUUAAACGAUAUUUGAACUAUUAUUUGAGUUGAGUAUAAUUGUUUACGGAUGCCUGAGGGGCUUUUCACUAUUUUGGAUUUAUUGAGGCUGAGGCCCAUAUGUAAGGGUGUGAAGAUGUUGUAAGGAGGCUUUCAGGCCUCGAGUUUUGUGUAAGCAUGUGCACAUACAUGCAUGGAUCGGACUGCACGCCGCAGUAGCAUAUUGCAUGGAUCGAACUGCACGCCGCAGUAGAAUAUACAUGCAUGGAUCGAACUGCACGUCGCAGUAGCAUAUUGCAUGGAUCGGGCUGCACGCCGUAAAUUAUAUAUGGAAUAUUGGAUCGGACUGCACGCCGCAACAUUUUUGCGCUUGGGCUGACGGAGCCCCUCCGGAGUCUAUACACACCCCUAGUGAGCGCAGGGUACCCAUGGAUCGGGCUACGCGCCAUAGCGGUCAUGUGCAUUGCAUUGCAUUCACGCNNNNNNNNNNNNNNNNNNNNNNNNNNNNNNNNNNNNNNNNNNNNNNNNNNNNNNNNNNNNNNNNNNNNNNNNNGGUCAUGUGCAUUGCAUUGCAUUCACGCAUUUACUCCUGUUUGUACUACGUGGCACGACAUUUAGCACUCAUAUAUCAUUAGCAUACAUACUGUUAGUGUUGAGCCCGAGAGGCUGAUGUUAUAUGUUGUGAGUCGGGAGUGAGCCCGCGGGGCUGAUACUGUACUGAGAAGUUGAUGCUCAGCUCUAGGGGCAGAUUUCUGAUUACUUCCUACUGGUUGAAAUUAUCUUUGCAACUGUUGAAAAGGCAUAUUUUCAAAAGAUAUUUUGAACUGAUCUUGAGAUUUUAUAAAGGGAUUUUUACGGUAUUUUGGUUUUUCUCAAAGAGAGUUUUCUAUCUUUUAUAGCAGUUUGGGGUGCUCAUACAAGUUUUCUUAUCGCUCAAAUAUUAUUCUCUCUUAUUACCACGGAGUUGGAAGUACUCGCUUUACUCCCUGCACCUUGCGUGCAGUUCCAGCUAUUGUUCACCUGAUAGUAGGUUAUUAGUAGGAACGAAGGCCUUAUUGUGGUAGUUGAGCAAGGUGACCGCCAGCGUUUGCGGCACUGCACUCCAACUUUGUAUUCCGGUUUUAUCUUGUAUAUAUAUACAUUGUUGGUCCAGUAGUAGUGACCCUACUCAUUAGAUGCUCGUGACUUGUGACUCCCCGGUCGGGCUGUAUUGGUAUUCAUAUUAAUUAAUGUCAUAAAUUUAGAUUCGAUCUGUUAUAUAACUGAAUAACUGCUUAGAGAGGAUUUGGGGUUGUUGGCUGGCCUUGUCUUCACGAGAGGCGCCAUCACGACUGCGUAUGGAAUUUGGGUCGUGACAAGUUGGUAUCAGAGCCUAGGUUACUAGGUCUCACGAGUCAUGAGCAGGGUUAGUAGAGUCUCGCGGAUCGAUACAGAGACGUUUGUAUUUAUCAUCGAGAGGUUGCAUAACCUUUAGGAAAACUUCCCCUUCUUGAAAUUCUUAUCGUGCGUACUUGAUUCAGCUUUAGAUAUAAUUCUUGAUAUUCCUUCCACACGUCUGUAUGCGCACGUGAGUGCUCAGUAGUAUAUGUGCCUUGAUGGCUUGUGAUUCCAUCGAUCGACAAGCAAGAGGUAAUCUCCGUGAGUUCGGGUUGGGCCAGUCUGGAGGACUAUUUGCUUAUGUCUUGAGCACAGAGGUGCCAAUUGUGUGAGCAAGUGUUUUGAACUUGUAUGUUCAGUAUUGUUCUUAUUAGCCGGAAUGGCGGCCGGAUAUCCAUGAUAUGGGUAUGUUAGUACUGGGAGGUGUAUCUAUAUAAUUUUGGUAGUGACGAAAAAGUCUGAUGGAUAAUAGAUGAGCUGUUAGGUGCUUGUUUCCUAUUACGGUCUAUUGUGUAUCACGAGGCAUGGGCGCGUGAAGAAUAUUUUCGUAUCCCCUAGCUGGAAAGUGAGGUGCAAUGCAAGUGGCGGUAUGAGUUCAUACUCAGGAAGACUAGAGGAUAUGUGUAUUCACAAAACUUGUAAAUGAUUUGAGUUUGAUCUCAUUGUGACAUCAUUAGAGUAAAAGUGUUAUGAGUUGCUAAGAGUGCAUUAAUAUAUGGCUUCGAGCCAAGUUGGGGAGGUUGUUGUUGGUUAGCUGAUUGCAUGGUUAUGUGCUACGUCGGUUCUGUUUUGAGAUAUGAUGGCGGAUCAUCUUUGGUUACAGAAACUGAGCCGAGGAUGGCACGUGUGAAGGAAAAUUUCUACAAAGGUUAUAUGGUGCUUUCGCAGAGAUUGAGCCGAGGAUGGUAUAUGUGAAGGAAAAUUUCUACAAAGGUUAUAUGGUGCUUUCGUAAAUGUGAGAAAAAUACUAUGAUGUUUUGAGAUGUUAUUGAUAAAGAAUGAUCGGUGCAUAAAUGAUCGGUGCAUAAAGAAGGGAAAAUGGUUAUUUGUAUCUGUAUGAAAUCAUGUUCUGCGGUGUUAGGGUGCUAAUGAGGCACGAGUAGUUCCAUUUAUGUAGAGCAGGUGAAUUGCAGCUGAAUAAGAGUAAACGACUCUCGUGAAUGGUUGUACUAUGUUCAAGAAUUUGCAUGUAACAAUCAGGUGUCUUAAGUUUGUGUAUGUGGCUAGAGACUGUGUUUUCAUUAGAAAAGAUCAAGACUUGUGGUAUGUUAUGUUAAUUAUGGGAUCCUAUGUAUCAAUAUCUGGGAAGUAAUGGUAAUGAAUUCAGAUUAGCAGGAAGUUCUUCGGUGUAGAGCAUUCUGGAAUGUGGUGCUUCCGGGAAGCAUUCAAGAGGGUAUUCAGUGGCAUAUGGGUCUUAGAUGGUGUGGUAUUAUGUGGGAGUCUCGUGUGGCAACCAGAGUUGAGGUAUUGUGGUGCUACAGCAAGGGAGAAUAUCAAAUUAAUGAUGAAUCAGGAAGGAAAUUGGAUAAAAUGGAAUAGCUUGAUAAUGAACCGAACCGGUGCGGUAAGGAUAUGAUUAAUUAUUGUAUGUUCGAGGUAAUGAGCCUUACAGGUAUUGUGCAGCAAAGCUUUUAAGUGUUGGCAGUUUGUUUAACUUGAUCUGGAUAGAAGGACUCAGUCCUGGCAAUUUAGCUUGAGUAAGGGAAUUGGGAGAAAGAGUCCUUGAUGUGUCUUACCGUGGUUCGAAGAUGGGUAUAUUUCCUAUGGGCAUGCGAAGCAUGGAGUGUGUAAUAAUUUUUCUCCUAUAUGGGAUCCUGAAAGUUCUUGACUAGCCUAUGGGUAUGCGAAGGAUGGAGUGUGUAAUAAUUUUUCUCCUAUAUGGGAUCCUGAAAUUUCUUGGCUAGUUGAGUGUGUCGAUGUUUACGGCACAUGAGAGAGAUAGAAGUCCUCAUAUUAUCCUAGUGUGGUUUGGUCUAUAUGUCAUGAUAUGGAGAAUUGAGGUUUGCGUGUUCAAGGUUUUGGUUAAGUUCAUAAUGGGAAAUCAUUAAUUCUUGAGUAGCACGGACAGCUACAGAUGAGUAAAGAUCCAAUCUUCAGAUGAUUAAGGUGAUGCAAAUUGAUGAUACGUCAGUAGCAUUGCGACAGUUUCUUGUUGGAUCGACUGCGGAUAUUUGAGGUUGUUGAUGGCGCAGGGAAUUUUGAAUAUCUUUCGUGGUAUGAAUGGAUACUUGAGGUGUGCUAUGUAUUCAUAUGGAAGAGUGUGGGAUCAUUCUCAAUGAUUCAUGCGUUAUAUGUGUUGAAAACUAGAAGUUCUCGUGAUCCGACCAUGCGGUGGUUGUGGGUCGUGUGUAUCGACAUCGUCUAGNNNNNNNNNNNNNNNNNNNNNNNNNNNNNNNNNNNNNNNNNNNNNNNNNNNNNNNNNNNNNNNNNNNNNNNNNNNNNNNNNNNNNNNCUAGCAGUUGUUGGAAACUGGAGGUCCGAGUGGAUCUUUCUUUGCUUGGUAUGUUAAAUUUGGGUUAUGAUAUUAGAUUGCAGACUGGUUGUUCCAAUGACAGGUUGUCUAGAUUCAUGUGUUAUGGGCUAAGUCAUAAAAAGCCACGGGUUACGUGGUAAGGUGCAUCGAAUUAUUGUUCGAGCAGAGUAGUUUAUUUUCAAAGACCAGCGGAUGGUUGGCAAGUGUGCUUUGUUAAUUGGGCCUUCAUGGGGGAUGUUAGUUCAGAGGUUUCGACCAUUGAUGUAGUUCCGGUAUUUAGGGACCUUUCGGAUGCGUUUCUUGCGGCCGGGCAUGAGGUUAUAUGUGUUUAUUGUAAUGAGAAAUUUGACUCGAUGUGCAUCUCCUUUUGUGAGAUAUAUGUGCAGGAUCGGGUGGCACGCCGCCACGGGUAUGGUAUCUGGAUCGGGUGGCACACCACCACAGGUAUGUUAUUUGGAGCAGGUUGCACGCCGCAACAAUGUGAUGUGGAGAAUAUUUAGGUAUGGUAUCUGGAUCGGGUCGCACGCCGCCACGGGUAUAUUAUUUGGAUCGGGUUGCGCGCCGCAACAGUGUGAUGUGGAGAAUAAUUUUCUAUAUGUUACUUUGUAUGCCUUGCUUUAUCGUGGGUGUGAUGGAUUGCUUGGCUUCAGACCUCAAUCUGUGCGUGGCUAUCUGUGUUGAGCAUAGUGACUUGGGGUGCUUCAUGGGAAAUAGUGUUUGGAUAGAAUCGCGCGUUGUGGAAGGCCACGUGAUGUUAUGACCUUUCGAGGAGGAUUCAGGUACUCUAUUUCUAUAUUGUGAGAUAGGAUCUCAGUUUUGUGUUGUGAUCGUACGGAGGAAUUUGAGUUAUAGCUCUUUCGUUUGAGUCAGUUGUCAUGAUUUGAGUGUGUUCAGAUCGUUUCUUAUUGGUGCCNNNNNNNNNNNNNNNNNNNNNNNNNNNNNNNNNNNNNNNNNNNNNNNNNNNNNNNNNNNNNNNNNNNNNNNNNNNNNNNNNNNNNNNNNNGUUGUCAUGAUUUGAGUGUGUUUAGAUCGUUUCUUAUUGGUGCCUGUGUUGAGCACGUUGUGGCUUAGGUUGGUGAUGAGGUGUCAUAUCACCAGAGUGGCGUGUUGUAGUUGAGAUGAUCGUUGCAGUCAUUAAUGAGCACGGACAUAUUUGAUUUCAGCUUGUUAGAAAGGUAAUAUCGAGGUUUGGCUCCGAAAUCUGUUGUAGUAUCAGUCAGAAGGGAAAUGUACUCAUGAAUGGGUGAUUCGAGAGAUGGGUUCAGUGUUUCAGUUGCCGUUGGCAGUAUAUGAAGGUGAUGGGAUAAGACUUUAGCUAAUAAAAGGGUUUUCCUAUCAGUACUUGGUUAUGGUGGGCAAUUGUUGGAAAUAGAUGCUAUCGUUUCGAGUGUUGGAUUAUGUGAUUUGUUGCAUGGGUUCACCUGAGAUUGCAAGUAUGGGUUAUUACAGUUGGUCAGGGUUUAUUCUGAAUAUAGAAGUGAGGUUCUAAUCUGGUGUAUGAUUUCGGGAAGUGCAAUGUGGUUAAUGGUUUAGAUGGACUGUGAAAUUUCGGCUAUGUUAUGUUAUCGGACCUCUGUGAGAUAGGGUGAUGUGGGAUCGCCCUGGGUAUAGGCUUGGUAAGGUCUUUUAGCUAUUGGGAAGCUUCUAAUACAACUCUGGGUACGCUCGAGGACGAGCGUUUGGUUAAGUUGGGGAGGAUGUGACGACAUGACACGUCAUCUUAUGUAUUACUGCUCUGUUUCCCUCUUAUUGUAUUGCUUCAUAUUUCAAUAUCAGUAUUUGAAACAAUCGGGUGUAAUUGAAUUGGUUUUUGGUUGAAAAUAAGGCACAUGGCCUCUUAGAAGGAAGCUUGUUUUGGAAAAGUCAACCGGAAGUUGACUUGUGAGUUAGAAAGCUCAGAUGUGAUUAACGAUGAUUCGGUUAGCUUUGGGAUAUGAUUUGUGACUUAGGAGAGCGAUCAGAAUUAAAUUUGGAGGUUCAGUGUAAAAUUAGGCUUGAAUUGGCGAAGUUUGAAUUUUUGGCAGAUUCUGAUUGAUAGAUGAGAUUUUGAUUCGAGGGUCAGAAUGGAAUUCCGAGAGUUGCAGUAGCUUCGUUAGGUAAUUUUGGAUAUGUCUGCAAAUUUUCAGGUCAUUCGGACAUCGUUUGGUCGGGUUUUUGAUUGAAUAUGAGUUUCGGAAGUUUUAAGAAAAUUUAGGCUUGAAUCCCCGGUAUUUGAUGAUUUUUGUAAUGUUGUACGUGUUUUUAUGAUUGGAACAAGUUUGUAUGAUGUUUUGGGGUAUGUUGGUGUCUUUGGUUGAGGUCCCGAGGGCCUCAGGGUGAUUUCGAGUGUUCAAACAGACUAGUUUCGGCCUUGUGAGAGAUCAAAUUUUUGCUGUCAUAUGUUGCAGAUUGAAUAUUGUCCGAUUUGCAUAUUGUGAUGUAUUCACUCUGUUUUUUGCUAGAUUCGACGCGCGUGGAGGCCGAUUUGAGGGGCAAAGGCGUCACGAGCUUGAGAUUUUGCCGGUUCGAGGUGAGUAAUACUUGGAAUGAUAUCCUGAUUUUGCCUGGUGUAUUGUGGUGACUUGCACGCUCGACUUGAGCGUGGGGUAGAGCACCGUUGGGAUUGUGACUUGGUCCGUCCCGGUUGUUGGUUUUUACCGCUAAAUUGUAAAUGUUUUAUUGUUAUCAUUAUGACUUGGUAUCAUUUCCAUACUUAGGGAUUACUACCGACUAUUUGAACCCUUGUUGAACUGUCAUCACUGUUUUUCCUCACUAUUUGAAAUAUCAUUGAACUCAGUCCAUGUGAUUUACACUGUUUAUUGAACUCAGCUAUAUUUUUACUCAGACUUGCAUCAUAUAUUUGGCGCAUGCCAUACUUGGGGCUUAUUGUCGAUUAUUUAAACCCUCGUUAAGCUAUCAUCACUGUUUUUCCUCACUAUUUGAAAUAUCAUUGAACUCAGUCCAUGUGAUUUGCACUGUUUAUUGAACUCAACUAUAUUUUUACUCAAACUUGGAGUUGUAAACGAUAUUUGAACUAUCAUUUGAGCUAAGUAUAAUUUUUCACGGAUGCUCGAGGGGCUUUUGACUAUUUUGGACUGAUUGAGGCUGAGGGUCAUAUGUAAGGGUAUGAAGAUGCUGUAGGAGGCUUUCAGGCCUCGAGUGUUGUGUGAGCAUGUGCACAUACAUGCAUGGAUCGGACUGCACGCCGCAGUAGCAUAUUGCAUGGAUCGGACUGCACGCCGUAGUAGCAUAUACAUGCAUGGAUUGGACUGCACGCCGCAGUAGCAUAUACAUGCAUGGAUCGGACAGCACGCCGCAGUAGCUUAUUGCAUGGAUCGGUCUGCAUGCCGCAACAUUAUAUAUGGUAUGUUGGAUCGGGCUGCACGCCGCAUAUUUUUGCGCCUGGGCUGAUGAAGCCCCUCCGGAGUCUGUACACACCCCCAGUGAGCAGGGUACCCAUGGAUCGGGCUACGCGCCAUAGCGGUCAUGUGCAUUGCAUUGCAUUCACGCNNNNNNNNNNNNNNNNNNNNNNNNNNNNNNNNNNNNNNNNNNNNNNNNNNNNNNNNNNNNNNNNNNNNNNNNNNNNNNNNNNNNNNNNNNNNNNNUAUGCUUGCCAAUGUCAUUGCAUUCACGCAUUUACGCCUGUUUUUACUAUGUGGCACGACAUUUAGCACUCAUACUAUCAUUUACAAACAUACUGUUACUUGCCUUGUUGACCAGAUACCAUGGUGUUAUAUGUUAAGGAGUGCUAUGCCCGAGAGGCUGAUGUUAUAUGUUGUGAGUCGGGAGUGAGCCCGCGGGGUUGAUACUGUACUGAGAGGUUGAUGUUGAGCCCGAGGGGCAGGUUUCUGAUUACUUCCUGCUGGUUGAAAUUAUCUUUGCAACUGUUGAAAAGGCAUAUUUUCAAAAGAGAUUUUGAACUGAUCUUGAGAUUUUCUAAAUGUAUUUUUACGGUAUUUCAGUUUUUCUCAAAAAGAGUUGUUCUAUCUUUUAUAGCAGUUUGGGGUGCUCAUACAUGUUUUCUUAUUGCUCAGAUAUUAUUCUCUCUUAUUACCACGGAUUUGUAAGAACUCACUUUACUCUCUGCACCUUGCGUGAAGUUGCAGGUAUUAUUCAUCCGGUAACGGGUUAUUAGCUUGACCGAAGGCCUUAUUGUGGUAGUUGAGCAAGGUGACCGCCAGCGUUCGCGUCAGCGCACUCCAACUUUGCAUUCCGGUUUUAUCUUGUAUAUAUAUACAUUGUUGGUCCAGUAGUAGUGACCCUACUCAUUAGAUGCUCGUGACUUGUGACUCCCCAGUUGGGCUGUAUUGGUUGUCAUAAUAAUUAAUAUCGAAAAUUGAUAUUUGAUCUGUUAUAUGACUGAAUAGCUACUUAGAGAGGAUUUGGGGUUGUUGGCUGGACUUGUCUUCACGAGAGGCGCCAUCACGACCGUGUAUGGAAUUUGGGUCGUGACAUUCUUUUAUUAAUUCAAACCUUGAGCAGUGAGGUACGUUCCCUGUAAAUUUGUUCUCGGAUGUGUUGUGGUUAUGGAAUUGUGAUUUCCGUUUGAAUCCUUUGUAUUAUGAUUUGUUGAAGGAUUCACAACUUGUUGAAUUUCCUCUUAGCUAUUUCAUGUUUGCUGAGAUUGUGAUUUAUGUUGCUUCAAUGGGCUUUGAAUGCGUGUUUGGGAUUUAAUUUGGGUGGAAUAAUAAAAAAUGGUUUGGAAAUGAAUGAUCAAGAGGGCACAGAUGAAAUUUGGGUGUUUCACAUUGCUGUCGCAAUAGUUUCUGGAAAAUGAAUUUCAAACAAAUGAUACACAUUGAUUGAUUGGACGAUUCUAGAACUUUUUACAUGUUUCUGUUAUAAAAUGAGCUAUAUAUUAUUUAAUUUAGCUAAAGAAGUUAUGUACAUAAAGGUGAAAAGCAGUAAGCUAAGUGUUUCAUAUUGUUUUGGGAUCUGAUUUUAACUAUUUAUUUACAUGAAAAUUUUAAAUUCGUCUACGGUAAUGUGCAGCCGUUUCCAUGGAUUAUUAGUGUGUUCAGACGACUGAUUCUUAAAAGUGUCCCUAAAAUCGAUAGUGCUAGGUUACAAAUCAUUAUGAUAUUAUGUUUGUAGUAUCUUUGGUAUCUCCUUUGGUAAUAUUAAGUUGCCUAAUUCUAGUGUUAGUUAGCAUGUGUUUGAGUGCAUUUGUUGUGAUGUGUUUGAGAUUUGCUUAGCUAGUUUUAGUCGAAGAUAUAUUUUUAGUUUGGAUUAAUUUGAGGCUUACACCUACCAAAUUGAUUUUCAUAAAUUCUUGGCCUUACAAUAAUCUUGAAGUAGUUUAGAAAGGAAAAAUUAUGAACACCCGUAUUUGGCUUUAGUUGAGUACAAUUUUUGGAAUAAAUUGAGGUGUACCGUGCCAAAUAAAAUUUCAAAUGCAUGGCCCUCGCAUAAUUAAAAUCCUUAGAAUUCGAGGCGCGCUAUUUAUUGAAUUUCCAUGGCCCUCGCAAAGUUAAUAACGUGCUAGACUCUUUAGGCUCGAGUUUAAUAAAAUUACAUUCCUAAAUAGGGUGGGCAUUUUAUGCGGCCCAAAUCUAAAUCCUAAAAUAUUGAAUAGAGUGUGCCUAGGAUUGAAGGUUCAUUUGAUGCGGCGCAAUCCUAAAACACACUUUAAAUGACGUUCACUUUCUCAAAGAAAUAUUAUAUUGAAUAAAAGUGGUAAAAAGUAAAAAUUUGCACAUAGUCUCUUCAUGUAAUAAAAAUCAGAUUUUGGCCAUUCAUGGCAAUUUAAGAGACCGUGCUAGAACCAUGGGGUCCGAAGGUGCCUAACACCGUCCCUCGGGUUAACAAAAUUCCUUAUUCAGAACUUCUGGUUCGCAGACUCCAAUUGGGAAUUCGAACAUUUUCCUCGGAUUGGGAUUCAAUCUAAACUAGUGACUUGGGACACCAAAAGCCAAACCUUUCCCAAGUGACGACUCUGAAUAAAUAAAUAAUCCCGAUCUGAAUAAUGUCACUUUAAAUGGAAAAACUCCCAUAUGCAUUAUCCUCAGGGGUAGGUGUGUAAAAAGAGGUUGUGACAGCUCUAUCGACUCUUCUGGGGACAAGAACCCAGAACGUUUUGUUCAGGGUUCAGAAUUCGAGUUUAGAAUAAUUGUUGUGUUUGGCUUUAUCUGAUUCUGUUACAUGAUAUGUGCUUAAUGUGCUAAUAGAUUGAUUUUACCACUUUGAUAUUACGUGAUCUGUGUAUAUACUGUGCCGAAACCCAUCUCCUCUCUGAGUCUUCUGAAUUGUGACGAAGGGUGUAUGGUGUACGACUUCUUUUCUAUCUAGUGUAAAAUCCUAAUUUAGAACAAGGUAUGGAUAAGUCGCAAAGCCGGCGAAGCUUUUGUAUUCCCGGAUUGCCGCCUCCUAUUCGGCUCGAGCUGUCCGCUCGAAUAAGCUGUGAAUUGUAUAUAAACUGUGUCGAACCAAAUCUCCUCUCUAAGUCUUUUGAAUUGUGAAGAAGGGUAUACGGUGUACGACUUCUUUUCUCUCUAGUGUCAAAUCCCAAUUUAGAACGAGGUUUGGAUAAGCUGCAAAGCCGACGAAGCUUCUGUAUUCCCGGAUUGCCGCCUCUCUUCGGCUCGAGUUGUCUGCUCGGGUAAGCCAGGUCUAGAACAAACACCCAGGUUUUGAACCUAGAAUAACUCAGUCUCAUAUCAGAUCCCUAGUAGGAACGCUUAUUUGCAUCAUGUGCAUUUUGACUUAAGGGACUCAGUACAUGGGUUGGGCCCGUCUAGGGCUAGAAACCUGAAAUGAAAAGACCAUCGUAAUGCAUCCUACUUGUUUUCUGUGCAUUUAUUUGCUCGGGCUUGCAUGUUGAACGGCUUUUGAAUCUCGAAAACGUUAGAUAAAUGAGAAAUUAGAAAAUAUGAAGACGGGGAGUUAGAAAAACCAAUAACCAAGUACUGCUGUCGGAACUCUGCCGAAAUUUUGAAAAAUUGGAAAAAAGGAAAAAUGUUUUUUGUUUACCAAAGGUCAAAAAUGGUUUUGAAAAAGAUUUUUGUCUCAAAAUUAGUUAGCUUAUUUGACGAACUACACGGGUCUGAUUCUCACCGGAUGUGAGAUACGUAGGCAAACCUCAUCGUUUUCGAUCCCAAUUUUCAAAAAAAAAUCAAAUAUAUUUUGCUUAGCUUCUGUUUAAUAAUCUUUCCUUAGAAAAUUCAAAAACUAAAAAUUAGCUUUAAAUUAAACAAAAUGGUUUCCUUCUUUCUAAUAUCUUUCAUACGAAAAAAAUAAAAAUCAACAAAAAUCAAAAUCCAAAAUACGAGUUCCCUUCAUUCUGAAGUAUUUUCCAAAAAAAAAGAAAAUUUCAAAAAUCAUAAACAAAAAUCCAAAAACGCCCUUUAGAUGUCUUUUUUUUUGUUAAAUGUCCUUAAAAUUUUUGAAAAAUUGAAGUCCAAAAAUAUUUCGCUUUUCUUUAAAAGUCCCUCUUUCGAAAAUUAAGAGGCAAUAUUCAAAAUCCAAAAAUAUUUUCUGUCUUCCUUAGAAAAAGGUAAAACAAAUGAAAAUUCAAAAAAAAAAAUUCUACACAAAUUUUGAAAAGGAAAAUUUUAAGUCUUCUAAAAAAAAUCAGAAAUCAAAAUCAAAAAUAUUUUCCUUAAAACAUUUUUUUCAAAAUUCCAAAAAAAAGAGUUCAUUUAUUUACCUUAUUUGCACGAACUGCGCUUGGUCUGAUUCGUGCAGGAUCGCGAUACGUAUCCUCAUCGGAUUCGACCGUAAACAUAAGAGAAAAACAAAAGAGAGGGAAGAAAAUAAAAGAAAAACAAAAGGAAGCACAAGAACGGAAGAGAAAUCAAAUAAAAACCAUCGCAAAAGAAAAGGAAAAAUAGAAAAAGAAAAAACAGAAGAAAAAACAAAAUGAAAAAAAAAGAAAAAAAAAGCAGGGAAAAUAAAAGAAAAGCCAGGAUGACGCAUGCAGCCGUUGAUUCGCAAGACUAACCGUUUGCUACUGUAAUUACAGAGUCCGGGUUUAUAAGAAACAUGUGGUUGGUUUUGUGGUAAACUGGCUUUGCACCCCUAUUUUACCAGAUCUAAUGGUAGUACAGAUAUGUCGUCAGAUAUGACCCUGCCAACAAUCUCUAUUUCAGAUGAUAGCCCGCUUUCGGGUAUCCCGGCCUCCGAGUCCUCUGCAGCUGAAGAGAAUAGAAUCUUGCGUCUGAGGGUGAGAUGUGGGACACAUGGACAAAUGGAAAAGAACCCCCGAGUGUCAUCCCUAGAUUUCUCGAGUUGUUCCCAAAGCUAAUAGGUACCUCCAAUGUUACAAUCAGUCACCCGAACAUCACAUUGGGACAGCCUACUAUAUCGGGUCACUAUGUGGGAGAUACUUCUGAGGUUCGCCCCCAAGUAUUCAUGCCCGAGACAGCUCCCAACAUCUUUACGGCUCAACUAUGCUCUGCCACAGUACAACCUUCAUUGCCAAAGCCUGCUUCUAACCCUUGGGUGUUCACUUUCCAGAAUCGUGUCUUUCAGGCAGAUCUUCCAUAUGCUUACCCUCAUCAACCAUCAUAUGAUAUUACACCGGGGCAGGAUAAAACUCCCAAAGCUCCUGAACAAGAUAAAAUAGUGAGAAGAAUGAGGAGCCUCGUGCAGAGCUUUAAAAGUAUGCAAGGCUUAAGCGGGCAGAAGAGUGUCUCCUAUACUGAUCUGUGCAUUUUCCGUCACGUGCACCAUCCCAUGGAUUCAAAACACCAAAGUUGAGAAAUAUGAUGGGCAUGGCGAUCCUAUUGCUCACCUUAAAAAGUUUUGCAACCAAUUGCGUGGAGCUGGCGGAAAAGAAGAGUUGUUAAUGGCUUACUUCGGAGAAAGCUUGGUGGGCAUAGCUUCAGAGUGGUAUAUGGAUCAACACACAUCUCGAUGGCACAUUUAGGAUGAUCUUGCCAAAGAUUUUGUUUGACAAUUUCAAAUUCAGAGUGGUAUAUGGAUCAGGACACAUCUCGAUGGAAAAUUUGGGAUGAUCUUGCUAGAGAUUUUGUUCGCAAUUUCAAUACAACAUUGACAUCGCAUCAAGCCGGAAUUCUUUGUCAAACUUGAAGAAGAAACCCUUAGAAAGCUUCAGAGAAUACGCUAUUAAAUGGCGCGAGCAAGCAUCAAGGGUGAAACCUCCCAUGGAUGAAAUAGAAAUGGUCAUUGUCUUCCUCCAGGCUCAGGAACCAGAUUACUUCCAAAACAUGAUGUCGGCCAUGGGCAAGCCUUUUGCAGAGGCCAUCAAAAUUGGUGACAUGGUAGAACACGGCUCCAUGCUCAGGAACCAGAUUAAUUCCAAAACAUGAUGUCGCCCAUGGGCAAGCCUUUUGCAUAGGCCAUCAAAAUUGGUGACAUGGUAGAACACGGUUUGAAAACGGGUAGAAUCUUGAGUCACUCAGCCAUCAGAGCAACCUCCCAAGCCAUUCAAGGCAGGUCUGAAGGAAUGGCAAAGAAUAGAACAAGAGAAGAAACAACCAUGGCGGCAUCAGGGGAAAGAAGAUACCGGGCUCUUAGACAUGUAUUUUUUGAAAGAACCCCUCAACACUACUAUCCUCAUUCUGAUAUGGUCUAUGCUCCACCACCUUAUGCGGUCAUGAACCCUCAACCUUUCGCCCAACCGCAAUUACAAGAUAAGAGAAAUCAACCUCCAUUCCAAAGAAACCAGCCUCCUCACCAGAACUACAAUAAUCCUUGAUCUCCCCAGAAUAACUUCCAUCCCCGGGAACCACCCAGGAGACCCAACUAUACACCAAUCGGUGAACCCUACUCCACCCUGUUCCCUAAGCUCGUCCAGAUGAAUUUACUGCAACCAAUACCCCCAAACAGGAAAAACCCGGAAUCACCAUCAUAUCAGCGGGGUGUCAGAUGUGACAAUCAUUCAGGGGUAGAGGGGCACGAUACAAAUGGCUGUUGGACUCUGAAACAAGCGAUGGAGAAUUUAAUAGAGCAAGGGAGAAUCGUGUUGAAGAAUGAGGAUGUCCCAAAUGUGACCAAUAAUCCGCUGCCCACUCACAACAGCGGGCCAUUAAUUGGGAUGAUUUGUGAGGACAAAGAAUUUGAUCCGGCACUUAAGGCUAUAAUUGCUAUUGCUGAUGAAGAAAGGAAGCCCGGGGAAGCCCCGAAACAUGAGAAAGGGGAAAAGAAAAGUAAUAUCACCGAGACAAAACCGGAAAAGGAAAUUGAUAUACCCAAGCAAGCCUAUGUGGUAUGGGGGACAAUCAAACCACCUCGACUGGAUGAGCCAGUGGUUAUUGGACGCAUACCACAGAAACCCAAGUACAGUGAAGAGGAAGAUGAUGAGGUUUUUACGGAUGAAGAGAGUGCGCGAAUACGUGAGGCAAUGAGGAAAAUCUCUGCAAAACCCACAUGGUCCAGUCAGGAGAAGGCACUAGCACUGCUAAGGUGUUAUACAUGGGACCAAGCACUAAGCUUCAAAAAUAGAAGGCUACGCCAUUCCUGGUCAGGCGGGAGUCCUAGUAGACUUGUCCUGCCACUUUUUCUGCAUCGCGAGUCAUUCCAGGGUGUGACUCGGAUGUUUUCUUUAGUUUCCUGUCUUUAAAUUCCUGAAUGUUCUUCCCAAAUUCCAAGAAAUGAAAUUAAUAUUUCAUCGUUUAUUUUCUUUAUUUUUUCAGAGUUUGCUAUGUUUUUUACGCAAGUCAUUCCAGGGUGUGACUUAGAAGUUUUCUUUAGUUUCAUGUCUUUAAAUUCCUGAAUGUCUAACCCUGUUAUCUUCCCAAAUUCCAAGAAAUGAAAUCAAUAUUUCAUCGUUCAUUUUUUUUUCCAGAGUUUAUUAUGUUUUUUUUCUCUUUUUCUAAUAAUGCAGUUUUAAAUAACAUGACAUGCUUGCGGACUUCAUGCACAGAUCCCAAGAAUUCUAUCAGGCUUUGAAAUAAUAAAUCAAAAGUUGUAAUACAAAGAAGUUAAAUUUGAGAAAAUAAAAGAAAAGAAUCGGAACAACGGAGGACAAUUGGUUUGUGGUAUGGGAAAGGCCUGUCACUAAAGCAGAGUUUAAGGACAAUAAGUGGGUCUAGACUCGUAUCGAACGUUGGCCUUAAUUGAAAUGGAUGACUGCAAUGUGUCACGGACAAUUGUAUUAACAAAGCAUGGCCCGUGCUUAAAUAAGAAAGCACGACCGGGGAAUUUUGAAGUAGGACAAUUCGUGUUAAGUUGAAAUCUUCCUCAUUACCAGGAAGCAAAAGGAAAGUUUUCUCCUAAUCAGAAGUGUCCAUACAUCAUUGGAAAUAUUCCCAAGAGGAGCAUUGUAUCUGGGUGACAUCAGAAAGAAAUGACCCCGAAGCAGUUGUGAACGCGGAUACAGUAAAAAGGUAUUAUGUCUAAACUUGAUCCGGCGAUGUCUUUGCGCAGUUGAGAUGACGAAGGCUUUCAUUCCCGCUAUCCAAACACUAUCAAUCUCUCACAAACCCUUUGAGUCGAUUACCUUUCUUUGAUUACCCUCUUUGGAACCCGAAAGUGCUAUUGAAAAUAAAAGGAAAAGGAAAAGAAAAGAAAAGAAAAGAAAAGAAAAAGGAAUAAGAAAAAGAAAAAGAAAAAAAAGAAAAAGAAUAAAAGAAAAACAAAACCGAAACAAAAACAAAAACAAAAUUAUUUGCAUGAACUACGUUUGACUUGAUUCCGAAAGAAACGUAGGCAGUUUCUCCCUGAUGUUCAAUCACACCAAAACAAAAAUCCCAAUUCCUCCAAAAAGUGAAACUGGGGCAGAUGAUAAAACUGUUCGGCCGUGAGACCGCCAAUAUGGUUCCAAAGUUGUAGUUCCGCCCAAAAUCCUUUUACCCCAAAUACCUUGUCCAAGUCCUUCUGAUCAAUUGGCAAAGACAUGAAAAUGAAAUACAUUAUUGUUGGAAUCUGAUACAAAUCAAAUUGGGAGAAAUAAAAUGAGAGAGUCUUAUCGAUGAAAACCUUCGGGCGCCACAAGGCGACGGUGAGUAGAGAAAACAAAAAUGAGAGAGUCUGCUUAGCCAAAACUCGCAAAGAGUGCUAUCGGACGAUAGUGAGAAGAGAAAUGAGAGAGGUCGAUUAGGGAAAACCCGCAAAGGGCGUUGUCAGCCGAAAAGAGGAUACUUAAUCACUAAAAGUCCAGGCAAGGUUCCCAAGUUUGGAAAUAUGGGUCAAUGGGUUCAUGAGAAGUUGGAACCCCAGAUAAGUCCUUCUUUUCCCCCGAAAGGGACGGUUCUCUUUAAACUCAUAUGCUUGCCUUUUGCAUACUUUUCUUUGAACCCCUUUCAGUUUAACUCUAAUUCCGUAACAAUUACAAAUAAAAGGUGGCAGGACUGGUUUCACAGGGCUCCGCUGGCAAGAACCAAAGGAAGUACCUAGCCUCAGUGGUGCGUCAGUCCAAUCCCGACUGAUCAUGAUUGUCGAUUUCUCCCAAAGUAAAAGACAUUAGAAAGGAAAAGAAAAUCAAAGGCAAAGGUCUUGAAAGUAGAAUAAAGUAAAAUGACAGAGUCCACACGGGUGAGUCAUCAUGAAAUCCUAAGGUUGAACCCGGUCAGUGUGAAAGAAAGUCACCCUCAACGCCAACAUGCAGCAAAGUUCUCAACGGAAAUGGGGUCGGGGUCAAGCGACGGAGAUGAUCAAGGCCACAAAACCAAACAAUGUUUCAACUAACAAAUUGUUCUUUGUUGAAAACAGGUCUUACUCAAAACAAUCGUGCAAGAAGCAGGUGCAACCCAAAAGAAAUGAAAUGCGCGAGCCUUGAAAUAGCGUUGCAGCAGGAAAAAAGACCAAAAGGGAAGUUUUCUCAAACACUCUUUCAUGCAUUCUAAUAAAUAAAAAGGAAUAACCUCUAAAAAAAGAAAGAAGAAAAGAAAUGAAAAACGAAAAUCCCAAAAGAGAAUCAAAUCAUGGUAGUUGUAGCUUUUUCUAUCCAAAUCCCGUCCAAAAAAACCGAGGAUCUCCCGGCCAAAAAACCGUGGAGCUUUUUCUAUCCAAAUCCUGGCAAAAAAGUCGAGGAUCUCCCGGCCAAAAAACCAUGUAGCUUUUUCUAUCCAAAUCUCAACCAAAAAACCGAGGAUCUCCAUGGCAUAACCCAAGGAGCUUUUUCUUUCCAUAUCCCGACAUAACCCAUGGAACUUUCCCGGUCAUAAAACCGAGGAUCUCCCUGGCAUAACCCAAGGAGCUUUUUCUUUUCAAAUCCUGGCAUAACCCGUGGAUCUCCCUAGCAUAACCCAAGUAUACUUUUCUUUCCAAAUCUCGGCAUAACCCGUGGACCUUUUCCGGCAUCCGGUGACUUACCCAGCAUAACCCAUGGACCUUUUCCGGCAUAACCCGAUGACCUCCCCGGCAUAACCCGAGGGCCCCUUUCUCUUUUCCAGUAUAACCCGGUCAUUUUUUAAGCAUAACCUGGAUUCAUUCACAAUGAUACACAAUCCUAAUCUGAUCGCUUAGAUAUGUGUCACAACUAACUCAAGAAAUUUUCCUAGCAAAAACUGUGGCAGAAAAUUCCGUUCGUUUGUUUGUUUUGGUAUCUUAAGCAGGUUGACCUCAAAACACAGGAUUCGAGAUGCCCAAAAGAAUGUCAAUCCGGAAUAAAGAAAAGAACAAAAGAAGUGAAAUUAAAGUGCUGAAGUGGAGAAGGACGCAGACUGCUCCAGAUAUGAUUGAAGUCACGAGCUUCGCAUGUCCCGCCUUGAUCCAAAGCUAAAAAAUGCACCAGCGGUAACAGCUGACGAGCAUCAAGAUUCAGAUCAGAGUCUACCUCAAGAACCAGCCAAGACUCAAAAUCAAGCUUCAAGAGAUUUAUAAAUAGGAAUCUUGUAACUCAUAGUUGAUAAGUUAGCUAGCUUAGUUUUUUAUUUUCCAUUUUGGUGUAAUAAGGAGCUCAGCAAGUAGAAACAACAGCAACAACAGCGAAAUCACAGCUUCUCGAUAGUCCUAGCUACCAACACUUCGAUAACUACACUGACCCGAUUCCUUUAUAGCCAAGGAUAUGUAGGCAACCUUUGAAGCAAGGUUCGGUCAGACUCAUUAAAAAAAUGCUUCUCAUGGAGUUUCAAAUGGGCAAAAAUCCUUCGUAAUUGCUUAUGUUAUCUUUGCCCAAAAACCCUUCGUGUCUCCGAGCAAAGAGGGGCAGCUGUGAGCUCGUGAUUUUUGCCCUAUAUGAAAUACUCCAACAAAAUCAAAGAAAAAUAGAUUUUUUCUUAAUUAUUUACCAUUUUAGGAAUCUUUAUAGAUUUUAUUAAUUGUUUGCAUUUUUCUUGCAUGUUUAAGUUUUAUUUAAAUCAUGAAAAAUAUCAAAAAUAUCACUUUACACUUCUAAGGAUUAAUUAGUAAUUACUUAUUUUAAAAAAAUGAAAAUUACAAAAAAUGCUUCAUUUUCACACUUUUUUCUUUUAUUGAUUUUUCUAUUUUAAUUUAGGAUUAAGUAGCUUUUAUAAUUUUUAUAAUUAGUUUAAUUUUACAAUUUAGAUAGUUUAGGAUUUUAAUUUUUAGGAUUUUUAAUCAAAGAAAAGAAAAGAGAAUAAGGACUAGGUUUUAAAUUAAGUAAUUGGGCCUAUUUAAAGCGAAAAUCAGUCCUAAAAAUUACCCAAACCCGUCCAAACCACUCAGGCCCAAAAAAUUGACCCGACCCGCUAAGCCCAAUCCCCUCAUUAGUCUUUGUUUGGCUUUGAAUUUCUGUUCUCGAUCAAUGUUUUAGCAUUUUGGAUCACUAGUUUCUUAUUCUAAUCCUAAAUUUCAUGGAUUAGGAGGUCAAAAGAAAAGAAAAGAGAAUAAGGAUUAAAUUGCAAUGAGGUUUUACAUUAAGUAAUUGGGCUUUUUUAUUAAAGCCAAAAUCAGUCCUAAAAACUAUCCAAACCUGUCCAAACCACCUAGGCCCAAAAUAUUGACCCGACCCGCUAAGACCAAUCGCCUCAUUAAAAUCCCUAAAAUCUAGAACCUUCUGAAGGAGGGAACACGCAAAAAUCGAAGACCCUCCCAUGAACUAGAGACACGCAAAAAGCGUGACUCUUUCUCCCAUCAUCUUCAACGAAAAGGCCCAUGCUCCUCCAUUCUCUCCAUAAAAAAUCAGCCACAACAUAUACAUAGAGGGGACACACGUAAAAUCAAAGACCCCUCCCCUUCUCUGAGCUCCCUUUUAUUCUCCAUUCCUGAUCUUCAACAAACCUAGACAUUAGAGACCUAAAAUCAAAUACUUGACAAAACAAAUAGCAGUCAUUGCUCCCUCCUCCAACCAAAUCACCCUCCUCUUUGAUUUCUCAUUUUCCCUUCAAAAAAGUUACGCAAACACACACUGGGAGAAGAUAGCUAAAAUCCCUGAAUCAACUACUUUGCCUACCAUAAAACCAUGUGAAAAUCCAAUUGAAAUCGCCACAAAAAUGCAAUGAAAAUCAGCUGACUGUUGGAGUCGUCAUUCGAGAUUUUAUUUAUGGUCGUUGUUUGGUUCCGAUGUUAAUAAAGCGCAAGCUGUUGACAUUUGGGAUAUAUAUGCGAAAUUGAUUUUUGGAUUGUUUGCCGCGAAAUUGGGAUUUUCUGGGUUCGACUUUAGAAACGAAAGCUGCGUGUGUUAACUCUGCUGUAUUUGAGCUCCAAUCUACUAACUUCCGUAUGUAUUUGGCUUUCUUCUUUUAUUAAUUUGAUCCUUGAGCAGCAGGGUAUGUUCCCUGUAAAUUUGUUCUCGGAUCUGUUGUGGUUAUGGAAUUGUGAUUUUCGUUUGAAUCCUUUGUAUUAUGCUUUGUUGAAGGAUUCACAACUUGUUGAAUUUCCUUUUAACUAUUUCAUGUUUGCUGAGAUUGUGAUUUCUAUUGCUUCAAUGGGCUUUGAAUGUGUGUUUGAAAUUUAAUUUGGGUGGAAUAAUAAAAAAUAGUUUGGAAAUGAAUGAGCAAGAGGGCACAGAUGAAAUUUGGGUGUUUCACAUUGCUGUCGCGAUAGUUUCUGGAAAAUGGAUUUAAAACAAAUGAUACACAUUGAUUGAUUGGACGAUUCUAGAACUUUUGACAUGCUUCUGUUAUAAAAUGAGCUCUAUAUUAUUUAAUUUAGCUAAAGAAGAUAUGUACUUAAAGGUGAAAAGCAGUAAGCUAAGUGUUUCAUAUUGUUUUGGGAUCUGAUUUUAACUAUUUAUUUACAUGAGAAUUUCAAAUUCAUCUACUGUAAUGUGCAGCCGUUUCCAUGGAUUAUUAGUGUGUUCAAACGAUUGAUUCUUAAAAGUGUCCCUAAAAUCGAUAGUGCUAGGUUACAGAUUAUUAUGAUAUUAUGUUUGUAGUAUCUUUGGCAUCUCCUUUGGUAAUAUUAAGUUGCCUCAAUUCUAGUGUUAGUUAUAAUGUGUUUGAGUGCAUUUGUUGUGAUGUGUUUGAGAUUUGCUUAGCUAGUUUUAGUCGAAGAGAUAUUUUUAGUUUGGAUUAAUUUGAGGCUUACACCUACCACAUUGAUUUUCAUAAAUUCUUGGCAUUACAAUAAUCUUGAAGUAGUUUAGCAAGGAAAAUUUUUGAACACUCGUAUUUGGCUUUAGUUGAGUACAACUUUUGGAAUAAAUUGAGGUGUGCCGUGCCAAAUAAUAUUUCAAAUGCAUGGCCCUCGCUUAAUUUAAAUCCUCAAAAUUCGAGGCACGCCAUUUAGCGAAUUUCCAUGGCCCUCGCAAAGCUAAUAACACGCUAGACUCUUUAGGCUCGAUUUUAAUAAAAUUACAUUCCUAAGUACGGGUGGGAAUUUUAUGCGGCCCAACUCUAAAUCCUAAAAUAUUGAAUAGAGUGUGCCUAGGAUUGCAAGUUCAUUUGAUGCGGCACAAUUCGAAAACACACUUUAAACGACGUUCACUUUCUCAAAUAAAUAUUAUGUUGAAUAAACGCGGUAAACAGUAAAAAUUAGCACAUAGGCUCUUCAUGUAAUAAAAAUCAGAUUUUGGCCAAUCACAGUAAUUUAUGCGACCGUGCUAGAACCACGGGAUAUGAGGGUGCCUAACAGCUUCCCUCGGGUCAACAUAAUUUCUUAUUCAGAAUUUCUGAUUCGCACACUCCAACUGGGAAGUCGAACAUUUUCCUAGAUUGGGAUUCAAGCUAAACUGGUGACUUGGGACACCAAAAGCCAAACCUUUCCUAAGUAGCGACUCUGAAUAAAUAAAUAAUCUCGAUCCGAAUAAUGUCACUUUAAAUGGAAAAACUCCCUUAUACAUUAUCUUUCGGGUAGGUGUGUAAAAACGAGGUGUAACACAACAUAUAGUCAAAUUUUGAUUUGAAGAAUCGACUAUUUGGUUAUAAAAAUAAUAAUACAGUAAUUUAUGUGUUCUUGAACCAACUGAUCCUCCUCCUGCUUCUUCGUACCCGAAAGAGCAUAACCCGGGGUAGGUGUGUAAAAAUGAGGUGUGACAAUCAGGCACAAUGUAGACACCAAGGAGGGGAAGUAGAAUCCCUUUGACCUCAGCAGGGGCCGUAUGAUCAUUUCAUCACAAAUUAGUCUUGCCCCAUCAAAAUCAUUCUUUGUGACGAAACACCAUGUCAAGAGGGCUCUUUGGAAGUUCACGUCUGUCGUGUUGCCGGAGGUAAAGAACCGGCUGCAUAUGACAGUGAGCCAAUACUUAGCCAAAUGGGUGAAUCAAUUGCAGUUCAGGGUGAUAUGGUCACGUAUCCAUAUUGGUUGCCCCCGUGCGUAGAGUGCAUCAGUCAUAAUAUCCCAAGUGACUCCUGGUGUGUCCUGGUAAUAGUUGACGUCACCGGUAAACCGGGGCAGCCGCAACACCUGGCGAAUAGUUUCUACUAAGGAAUCUACCCAUUUUCCCCGCACAGUCACCUCCCGCAAUGUAUGUGAUGGUUAGUUCACGUAGAACUCCCUUACAAGCAUCUCGUUUACCGAUGUAGGUUCAUAAAAUAGGAACUCAAUUUCCCUCCGCUGGAUUUCAUCAUACAUUUCCUCCUUUUCCGCACGGAGGACUGCCAUGUCUAUAGGAAUCUCAGGGAUGAAGCUCUUUGAGGCCUUGGCAUGAAAGUCGUCCUCUACCAAUUUUGAUUCGAACCUUGAGGCAUCAUAAGUAGGAUUUUGAGACGUGCCUGCCGAUCUCUUUUACUUCUUACGAGCCAUAUGACCUGCGAAGAAUACUAGAGAACCAUAAAUAUAACCUACAUGUGCCAGUCGAAUGGGUACUUAGACUUCACCACCCGAUGGCACCAACUAAUAUCUCCCAUUUAUUCCAUUCAUGCAUUAUGCCAAACCCCCAACUAGUAAGGUGUUCAAGGUUACAACCUCUGCAAUGGCCCCAAAACUUUCUUACGAUUUCAAGCAUACAACACCCUACACUUACACCCUCAAGUGAUUCAUGCCAAAUACAACACCACCACAACCUAGAAUAGGCACAAAAUGCCUCAAAAUAAUACAUCAAGCCCCAUAUUUUUGGCCAAAGGUGGCCCUCCACCAAAUUACACCACAAAAAUAAUUUCUAGGCCUCCAAAUCAUCUAAACAAACCCCACAAUUGAAGAACAACUAAGACCCAACCAUUUUAGCACCACACAAGUCCACAAAAGGCAAUUACAAAGAAAGAAAACAUAAACGAAAGCUAAAAUUAAGAAAAUUAACACUAUUUCUACCUAGGGUUUAGUUAAUCUAAAAUAAAACUACAUUACACUAAUUAAGAAGAAGAGAGAGAAAAGAAAGAAGAGAAAACUUACUUGAUGGAAGAGGGGAAUGGGUGGGUAGUGUUGAGAGGGAGAUUUGGAGAGGGUGAUAAUGAAGGUUUUUGAGUGGAUGGGUGAUUUGAGAGAGAAAAAAAAGAGAUGAGUGUUUGGGUUUGUGGGGGGCGUGUAUCUGCAGCUAUGGUAAAUAAGGGUUGGGGUAGGGGAGGGUUUAUAUUAAUUAGAAAGGGGGGAUAAAAGUAAUAAAAAAAUAUUUUCAAUACCUGGGCCCGUCUGGGUCUGCCCCGGUCCUACCGCGGUCGCGGUUGAACCACGGUAGAUGAAGUUCAGAGAGGGUCUCUGACCGCGGUUUGACCGCGGUUGCAGUGGAACCACGGUGAACGAAGUUCAGAGAGGGUUUCCCAUCGCAGUUUGACCGCGGUCGCAGUGGAACCGCAGUGAACAAAGUUCAGAGAGGGUCUCUAAUCGCGGUCGCGGUGGAAUCGCGGUCUGGGUAGUUGUCUGAUUUUUUGUUUUUUUUUCAUAUAUUGUGUUACACUUACAACAAUUUCAUGGGGUGUCUCCCAUGAAGCCCCUGAUUUAACAUCGUGGCACGACGCAGGAUGAGCGAUGUUAAGGCUCACUCGACCUUUGUGGUUCAGUUAGGUGCAGCUCAGACACUUCCUUUUUCUCGCUCAUGCCCACAUAUGGCUUCAAUCUUUGACCAUUGACUCUAAAUGCACGAGAGUCAUUCUCUGUGGCAAUCUCAAUAGCCCCUGAAGGGAAAACUUGAACUACUCGAAAUGGUCCAGACCAUCAUGACUUAAGUUUACAUGGGAACAGACGUAGUCUUAAGUUGUAGAGAAUACCAUGUCCCCGGGUUUAAAAUUCAUGUGGCAAUCUCAAUAGCUCCUGAAGGGAAAACUUUAUCUACUCGAAAUGGUCCAGACCAUCGUGACUUAAGCUUACCUGGGAACAACCUUAGUCUUGAGUUGUAGAGCAAUACCAUGUCCUCGGGCUUCAAAUUCCACUCAACAAUGUUCUGGUCGUGCAGCCUCUUCAUUCUCUCUUUGUACAACCUUGUUCUCUCAAAAGAAAGAUAUCUGAACUCCACGAGCUUAUGCAAUUCAGUGACUCUUGACGUGCCCGCAACUUCCAUGUCUAAGUUAAGUUGUUUAAGUGCCCACCACGCUUUAUGUUCAAGUUCCACUGGCAGGUGGAAAGCCUUCCCAAACACCAACUUGUAUGGUGACAUACCAAUUGGAGUUUUGAAAGCAGUUCUGUAAGCCCAGAGUGCAUCAUCUAGAUUCCUCGCCCAACCGGUUCUUGUGGCAUUCAUAGUUUUGGUUAACACACUCUUGAUUUCUCUGUUUGACACUUCAACCAAUCCACUAGUUUGCGGGUGGUAAGGAGUAGCCACCUUGUGGCACACAUCGUACUUAGCAAGCAACUUUUCGAAGGCUCUAUUGCAGAAAUGAGUGCCUUCUUCACUGAUAAUUGCUCGUGGUGUCCCAAAGCGGGUGAAUAUGUUCUUCUUUAGAAAUCCCACCACCACUUUUACAUCAUUGGUGGGUAACGCCGCAGCUUCCACCCAUUUGGACACAUAAUCUACAGUAAUAAGAAUGUACUUAUUGCCAUAGGAGCUGACGAAGGGACCCAUGAAGUCAAUCCCCCAGACGUCAAACACUUCUACUUCUUAAAUUGGGUUCAUAGGUAUCUUGUGGUGCCGGGAAAUGUUCCUAGUGCGCUGACAUUCAUUGCAGCCCUUCACCCAUAAGUGAGCAUCUUUAAACACUGUUGGCCAGAAGAAACCAGCCUCUAGCACCUUUGCCACUGUCCUAACCCCUCCAAGGUGUCCACCAUAUGCCGACGCGUGACAAGCCUGCAAAACAGAAAAUUGCUCUAUCUUGGGUACGCAUCUCCAGAUCAUAUUAUCAAGGCAUAUUCUAAACAGAUAAGGCUUAUCCUAGUAAUAAUGGCAACUUUUACAAAAAAAUCUUUUCCUUUGAACCGAUGAAAGGUCGUGGGUAACUAUACCACUAGCCAGGGAAUUAGCAAAGUCUGCAUACCAUGGCACUUCCUGAUGAGUGGUUGCGAGCAGCUGCGCUUCUGGAAAAGUUUCCAUGACUUCCUCAACCUCUACUAUGUUUUUAGCUCCCUCAAGUCAUGAUAAAUGAUCAACAACUUGAUUCUCAGUACCCUUACGACCACGAAUCUCAAGAUCAAACUCUUGCAAUAGCAACACCCAAUGAAUCAGGCGUGGCUUAGAUUCUUUCUUUUCUAUUAAGUACGUGAGAGCUGCAUGGUCAGUAUAUACAAUUGCCUUUGACCCUAUCAAGUAGGAUCGGAACUUGUCAAAUGCGAACACUACGACCAACAUCUCUUUUUCAGUCACAGUGUAGUUCAAUUGGGCUCCACUCAGCAUUCUACUAGCAGAGUAGAUUGGGUGUAUCAAUUUGUCUUUUCGCUGGCCCAGCACUACCCCCACUGCGUAGUCACUGGCAUCGCACAUUAGCUUAAAUGGUUGCUCCCAAUUGGGGGCAACAAUGAUGGGUGAUGUGACCACUCUUUUUCAACUUCUCAAAUGCUACCCUGCAAUCAUCAGAAAACAAAAGUGGGUGAUCUUUUUCUAACAACUUACAGACAUAGUUGGUAAUUUUGGAGAAGUCCUUUAUGAACCUCCAGUAAAAACCGGCAUGCCCAAAGAAGCUUCUGAUGGCUUUAACUGAAUUUGGGGGAGGCAGCUUUUCUAUUACAUCAACUUUCAUACGAUCCACCUCUAAUCCCUUGCUUGAAACCCCGUGCCCCAAUACUAUGCCUUCUUGUACCAUGAAAUGGCGGUUUUCCCAGUUCAGAACCAAAUUAGUCUCGAUGCACCGUCUCAGCACACGCGUCAGAUUUAUCAAGCACUCAUCAUAUGAAUUCCCCACCAUUGAGAAGUCGUCCAUGAACACCUCCAUUAUGUACUCAACCAUGUCAGUGAAUAUGGACAUCAUGCACCAUUGGAAUGUGGCAGGUGCAUUGCAUAGGUCGGAGGGCAUCCGUCAAAAGGCAUAAAUGCCAUACAGGCAUGUGAAAGAAGUCUUCUCUAUGUCCUCUGGUGCAAUGGAGAUCUGAUUGCACCAUGAGUACCCAUACAGAAAAUAGAAGUGUGAUCUCCUUGCCAAUCUGCCUAACAUCUGAUCAAUGAAGGGAAGUGGAAAGUGGUCUUUUCGGGUGGCUAGAUUCAACUUUCGAUAGUCCAUACAGAUUCUCCAGCCUGUGACGGUUCUUGUUGAGAUCAAUUCAUUAUUGUCAUUUGUCACAACUGUCAUGCCACCCUUUUUAGGAACACAUUAAACUGGGCUCACCCAGAUGCUGUCAGAUAUUGGGAAAAUAAUUCUGCAUCCAAUCACUUUAUCACCUCCUUCCUCACCACUUCCUUCAUGUUGGGGUUCAGCCUCCUCUGAUGUUCCUUAGAAGGUUUUUGCCCCUCUUCAAGUAAAAUCUUGUGCAUGCAGUAGGCAGGGCCGAUCCCCUUGGUGUCUUCCAUUGUCCACCCAAUGGUAGUUUUGCACUCCUUUAGUACAUGUAAAAGUUUUUGAACCUGUGCAUCUAACAAACUAGAUGAGAUAAUAACAGGUAAUAUGGAGUCAAUGGCUUUAACUCCAGCUUUGGUGGUUCUUCAAUGGAUGGCUUAGCUGGAGGAGUUUCUCUCUUUUCCAAGUGCAAGGUCUCAAACUCUAGAUUUCUCUCCCAAAACCUUUACCCUUUAAUACCAACACCCAUUCCGCCAAAUCCUCACCAUUCACUUCAUCUAAGUUCAUCAAAUAUUCAGCAAUGGGGUCCUAAAUUGUCAACAACUCAUCAUUAGACUCUACAAUUACAUCCAAGGCAUCAAUAAGAGAGCAAUUGGCGAACUCGCUUGGUCGCCUCAUAGACUUCUGCACAUUGAAUGUAAUUUCUUCAUCAUUGAGCCUCAUCUUGAGCUCCCAGCCUCACAAUCAAUCAAGGCUCUCCCCGUGGCCAAAGAAUGGUCUUCCUAAGAUUAUAGGAAUUUCUUCAUCCAUUUUGCAGUCCAAGAUUACAAAAUCUGCGAGAAAGACAAAUCUUCAUAGUCAAUCAGAGCUCUCCCCGUAGCCAAGAAUGGUCUUCCUAAGAUUGUAGGAAUCUCUUCAUCCACUUUGCAAUCCAAGAUCACAAAAUUUGUAGGGAACACAAAUUUACCCACCUGAAUGAGAACAUCAUCAAGGAUACCAAAUGGACGCUUCACAAUCCUGUCGGCCAGCUGCAAUAACAUAGAGGUGGGUCUAGAUCUCCCAAUCGCCAAUCUCUUAUAGAUAGCCAGGGGCAUAAGAUUAAUGAUGGCCCCUAAAUCACAAAGCGCCUUAGCAAAUACAAAAUUUCCAAUAGUGCAUGGAAUUGUAAAACUACCUGGAUCAGACAGCUUUUCAGCAAUAGGUCUAGUCACCACUGCACUACAGGUCUGAGCAAGUCUAACCGUGGCUAAGUCUUGAAAAUCAAAUUUCAGGGACAUUAAGUCCUUCAUCAUUUUCGCGUAUCCAGGCAUCUCCUUUAAAACUUCAAUCAGUGGAACAUUUACCUGGAUUUGUUUGAGCAUUUCAAAGAACUUUUUAUAUAGCUCCUCCUUUUGAUGCUUGGCCAGCCUCUCUGGAAAGGGUGAAGGAGUUCUCUUCUUCCCAAUCACUUGGGACUUCUCUUUAUCAGCUACUAUUUCAACUACGGGCUCUUCAACUGGCUCAACUACUUUUUCGGUCUCCUGCUGAAUGUUAUUUUCUUCCUGAGCAGGCUGGACUAUUACCUCUGUGAGUAUCAUAGAUUGAUCCAACUCAAUGGGAACUGGAAUGAGUGUCUCAGCCUAUAUAUUUUCUCGAGCUAUCUCUUACUCUACAUCAAGAUCCCUGCCAUUACGGAGACUCACCACCAUCAGCUGCUUUGGGCCCUGAUCUUUUGAAUUAAUCUGGGUGUCUGCAGGUAAUGUCCCAUGAGAACGAUUGUUCAAAGACAUUGAAAUCUAGCCCAGUUGCAAUUCAAUAUUUUUGAUUGUUGCGUCAUGUGCAUCUACUCUCUCAUUUAUUUUUGCAUUCACCUAAUAACAUGCUGCAUCGUUGCUUCAAGUCUAGUGAACCCAUCUUCUUGCCUUCUACCAUGCUGCUACUGAGGUGGGGGAUACCCUUGCUGCUGAUUGUUGUACCCCCUGUGGCCUUGGAUAAGGUGCUACAUUGUUGGGGGGUCUCAUGCCUCCCAUGUUUCCAGUGUUGUACUGUGGCUGAGGUGGUCUGUAUUGCUACUGAGUUUGCUGACCCCAAUUCUGAUUCCCCUGUCUCUGGCCUCCAUAGUUUGACACAUAGUUCAUGUUUUUAGGGUGCUAAUGAUGGUGAUCAUGUUCUGCAUUUCAAGGAUUACCAACUGGCCGAAUAAUGCAAGAUGUGCACAAGCCCCCAUUGGUAGUAUCUACAAUAUGCACUUGUUGUUUCUGCCCUGAUUCCUCCACCUUUUUGGUGAGUAUGCUCAUCUAUUUCAGUAGGAUCGCCAUAUUUUCAGCCAUGGAAUUUGAUGGGUCAAGCGGCAUUGAGUGCACCACUGGAGUGAUAGGUGUGAGCACGUGAUUUUUUCUUCACAAGAAUUACUCCAAAAGAAAUCAAGAUAAAAUAGUUUUUCCUUUGAGCGCAAUUUUGAGAGUUUUUCAUGCCAUGGAAUUUUAUGGAUCAAAAGGCAUUGAGUGCACCACUGGAGUGAUAUGUGCAUUUCUAGUUGUCCACCCCGAAUUCUAAGCCAUUUUGUCAAGCAGACUCUGACCUUCUCUCCAAGUUUUGCUCCCAAAUGCACCACCAGCUGAGGCAUCUACAAUGUUCUUCAUGCUAUCUGACAGUCCCAUGUAAAACUGUUGGCCCAACAUCUGAUCUCGAAUACCAUGGUGUGGACAUGUAACCAACAUUCCUUUAAACCGGCUCCAUGUCUCAUGUAGUGUCUCCAUUGGUUUCUGUUUAAAGCUCACGAUCUCAUCAAUUUGUUGAGCUAUUUUGUUGGGCGGGUAGAACUUGAUGUGAAAUUUCUUGACUAAAUCAUCCCAAGUUUCUAUAGAGUUUAUGGGGAGUGAGUUUAGUCAGACCUGAGCAGCUCCUGUCACCGAGAAUGGAAACAAUAACAGCCUGAUUACUUCCGGAGUUACGUUGUGUUGCCUUUGAGUUUUGCAAAUCGAUAGGAAGUUCUUCAAGUGUUGCUGAGGAUCUUCGGCUGGUGUCCCAAAAACCAAUCCCUUAUUUUGCAAUAAGUGCAGCAUGUUAUUCGUGAUCUGGAAUGAUUCAACUUGUAUCGUGGGAACAACAAUGGCAGCGGCAAGAUUAUCAGUUGUGGGUUGUGCCCAAUCAUAUAGUGCAUCCUCAGGCACAGGAGGUGCCACUUCCCUGACGUUUUCGUUGACAUUGUCUAUGCCACCCAUGUCAAUUUCAAGUUUGAGUGUUUGUUGGGAUUGUUGAAGUCUUUUGUUGGCACGGUUCAAUAUCCUGAAUAUUUUCUCGGGGUAUGUAAGUCCUUCAAGUAGUUCUCCAGUCCUCGUAGAGUUUCUAGGCAUACACAUGUGCAACCACGUCAACAACCGUCAAAAAAUUCAAUCAAAACUUUGGUGUAGAGAAAACUGACUACAUUAAGAAUUUUUGUUUUUCUAUCAACGGUAAUUGAUAAUUUCGUUAACUCCCCCGGCAACAACAUCAAAAUUUGAUCACGCCCAACUAUGCCUUAUAAAAAGGACAAUGCAGACGUUGCAAAUAUAACCUGAGUAUUCUGCCUAGUGUCGAAUCCGCAGAGAGUUAACCAAUCAAUCAUUAUUUUUAGACCCACUAAACUCUUGAGAACCACUUUUCCAAACGUUUGAAUCACAGUUGAUAGUGUCUUUAAUAACUAAAAUUCCAAGUAAAUAAACAGUUGUAAACUACGGAUGCUAAGGUUGUAAAUAAUAAUGAGAAAAUGUUAAGGUAAUGACUUCCCCUAUUGAUGGAAUCCCUUCUAUUUAUGUUUCAUACAAAUUAACCAACACCUCUCUAUCAAUUAUGAACGCUCAUCUUACUGUAAAUCUCUCCCGAGUAAUCACAAUAAUAUACUAAAUGCACUCUCCUGAGAUACACUAGCUAGCUUUAGUUAAUACAGUCCACUUUAGAUUGCACCCAAGGCUUCGUUGUAGUAUAGUGGGUGACCCAGGUUCGAUCCCCGCCAACGGCGCCAAAAUUUGAUCACGCUACUAUGCCUUAUAAAAUAGACAAUGCGGACAUUGCAAAUAUAACCUGAGUAUUCUGCCCAGAGUCGAAUCCACAUAGAGUUAACCUAUCAAUCACUAUCUUUAGACCCACUAAACUCUUGAGAACUACUUUCCCAAAUGUUUGAAUCACAGUUGAUGAUGUCUUUGAUAACUAAAAUUACAAGUAAAUAAACAGCUGUAAACUAAGGAUGCUAAGGUUGUAAACAAUAAUGAGAAAACGCUAGUUUGAAUCACAGUUGAUAGUGUCUUUAAUAACUAAAAUUCCAAGUAAAUAAACAGUUGUAAACUACGGAUGCUAAGGUUGUAAAUAAUAAUGAGAAAAUGUUAAGGUAAUGACUUCCCCCAUUGAUGGAAUCCCUUAUGUUUAUGUUUCAUACAAAUUAACCAACACCUCUCUAUCAAUCAUGACCGCUCAUCUUACUGUAAAUCUCUCCAGAAUAAUCACAGUAAUAUACUAAAUGCGCUCUCCCGAGAUACACUAGCUAGCUUUAAUUAACACGGUUCACUUUAGAUUACACCCAAGGCCUCGUUAUCCCUAAUCUCGCCUUUAAACCUGUAGUUAUUGAUCCCUCAUAUACUUUGGGAGUGGUGUUGUUCAACAAUAACCUAAAUAGGCACUCUCUCCUGGGUUAUGCGCACUAAAUAGGCAUAACUAAUUGAGGAUCCUGUCAAUUAACUACAACAAACACAAAGUUGAACACAUAGAGACUGAAACUAGCAAUUUGUAUUUACAUAAACAAGAAGUUCAUCCCCCAAUAAGUUCCAUAAAAAUCUUAGACAAAGGAUUUAGCUACUCAUAACUAUGGGUAAACAAGCUAAAACAAUAUUCAUCAUAAAACUUGUAAGAAAAAUCAAAGAAAAAAAGGAAGAUGUUUUGGGUGAUCUCUCACAGUUGGUUUCCUUACCAAAAUACUCUCCAAAUCAAUACAUGCCUCUCUUGGGCGAAGUCUAGUAAAAUCAAAGAAAAGAAGAAAGAUGUUUUGGGAGAUCUCUCACAAUUGUUUUCCUUGCCAAAAUACUCUCCAAAUAAAUACAUGCCUCUCUUGGGCGAAGUCUAGUGUUUAAAAUUGGGUUUUGGGCUAAAAAUCCCGUAUUUUGCACUUUAAUCCCUGAAGUUCUCCGCCUCUACCGCGAUUCUGCCUUGAGCUGUUCGCGUGGUUCACUUGACGGAAUUUCACCAUUGGCCUCUUUUUCUCCAUAUUUGAUCCCAAAAGUACUCCAUAACCUUCUCUUGUCAUAUAUGCAAAGCAUGAAAAGCACUAAUAAGAGCAUUUUGUUAUCACUUUUAUUAUCCAAACUAUACAAAAAGGUGGUCAUUUAGGGCCUAAUUAUAGUUAAAUUCAUCUAUUAUCAAUGAACCCUCAAGAGCAGUAGGAUAAUGACAGUUAAAGAGCGAUAAUUGAAGAAUAAUAUUAAAAGAAUGGUAAGCUGAUGAGCAAAAGAAAGAAAUAUUAUAUUGCCUUGAUCUGUGUGAAUGCAAAAUAUGGUCUACAAAUGGUGGGGACCCCUCUUUAUACACUAAAGGAAUCCUAAUGGUAGUACAAUUUUAAUGACGGAAGUAAAUUCCAUGAUUGAUACAAAUAACCGCCCAUGAUUUGAUCCAUUCCGAGAUUCCCACCGUGGUUUUCGACCGAUUACGAAUAUUGCCUUUCCGUUACCGCUUCCGCUCGAAGCUCCUCAUAUCCUGUCUCGAUCAUCGGAGAUCUCGAUCUCGACGGGUGCUCGAUUCUCGAACUCCGCACUUUGUCUUCGUGUUCCAGCCUGAUUCAUAAUGAGUCUGACCCUUCAUGCAGUUCUCUGAUCUCGAAAUAAUGACAAAAUCGGGCAGUCCCGAUUUUACCCAUAUAGCGAUUCAAUUGAAGUGAAACAAUUGCUUGUGGCCUAAUUCUAUAAAUUUAAUUCAUUAACUUAUCAUCCAAAUUUUAGGUUAAAUAAUACUCUUUUCAAUUAAAUUGAAUAUUUUCUUUAAUUUUGAAUAUUUACUUACGAAGCUGACCGGACGCGAGUAUCAACUAUGAAGUAGUCCUCAAAGGCUCGAGUACUGGUGCAGGGAACACUCUCCUCAAAAACCCUAGUUUGGGUGUCCUCCCAAACCCCAGAAAACACCAAACCAAAAGGAAAAUGGCAGAAACAGGACAAGACGAAGAAGAACACACAUUCCCAGUGAAAAGAAAGCCCCAAGAUAUUCCUGCUGCUGCAAAAGAAGAAGCUAUUUCCAAAUCCCACGAAGACGAUGAUGUAAACAAGAAGCAGAAACUCGCCAGUACUGAUUCGAAGAAACUCGAGGAAAUUGACGAGGAGGACGAAGAAGAAGAUGAAGAUGACUAUGAAGGUGAGGAGGAUGAGGAAGACGAUGAUGAUGACGUGGAGGAGGAGGAUGAUGAGCAGUCCAACGGAGAGGCCGAAAUCGAUCGUAAGGGUAAGGGGAUUUUAAAGGAUGACAAGGGUAAGGGAAAGUUGAUCGAGGAGGACUCGGAAGAUGAUGAUGAUUCGAACGAUUUUGGAAACGAGUCUGAUGUUGACAGUGAUACUGACCUCUCCGACGAUCUACUGGCUGAGGUCGAUUUGGGCAACAUUAUUCCCUCCAGGACUCGACGGCGUACCUUUCACUCCGGUCUUAAGAUUUCUGAUGAUCCCGCUAAAGGUGAUAAACCCUGAUGGUAGCGAUACUUAAUUUAGUUUUUGAGCUUCCAAAAAGCUAUUAAAAUGAUUAAUAUCAGCUCAUCUCUUCUCGUCGUAGCAAUGUGGUCAAUAGCUGUAUUCCUCCUGUAUUUUGACUUGGAUCUACAUGUCUAAUGUAGUUGGGGAAUUACCUUAUCCUUAACCAAUUUUAUUAAUCUAUAUUUCUCUUGCAAUUGUUUUUUUGCUUUUGCUUAUUUUCCAUGAUAGUUUACUUCUAAAGUUGCUAUUUGUAGCAAGUGCUUCAUCUUCUAUCCUUAGGCUUUGAGAUUGGCUUAUAUGAAUUUGGUGAUAGGCUAAUCUUGGUAAAUGAAUGUUUAUUUGACAUCAAUGUUCUCUAUCUAAGAUAGGAACUGAAUAGUUUAACAGAUGCUUAACGUGCCAAGGUUACUCUUUGAUCAUGUUUAAGAUGUGUACCGAAUUGUCUAACAGAUGUUAUCAUGAUGUGGUCAUGUUUUUGUACAUGCAUUUCUAAAGGAAAAAUUGGUCUGUUUAAUGCAAUCGCUGCUCUUUAAUGGCAAUCAGGGUAUUCUGCAUUGCAAGAACUAGGUGUUUGGAUGUAAUAUAAUUCUUGAUGCUUAGUAAAUCUGUUUACCAAGCUUUAUCUGCUGCUUGUCAUCUCAUUUCCAUUUCACACCUGAAAAAUUAUGAUGUUAAUAAUGUCAUUUUUUGCCAAUUUUUUUGGUGGUUCGAGGAAAGCCAGCAUCUGGCAGAGUAAAGUGUUCUCUCUGCAUGACCUAGCUCGACUGGUUAUCAGUUUUGGUUCAUUAGCAGUACAUUGAAAAUGGUCCUCUGCCUGGUAUAUGAUCUUUGUUAGGAAAAAUGAGUAAUUCAUCAUAUGGUUGCAAUUUUGGAAUCUGAAACUCAGCAGAAAUCUUCAAUAAAGAGGGCAUACAUGACCAGGUUAUGGCUGAUUGGCUGUAGAUUUUGCGCCUAAUAGCCCUAAUUUGGAUCUUGGGCGGAUCGUUGUUGUUGGUUAAAUCACUUGACAACUUGUUAGGUAUCAAAGUGAUCACAUGACAGCUUGGUUUAACAUAACAGUCUAUACUCUAUUGAUUUGAUAGACCAAAGUUUGCUGGGGAAUAAGAUUAUCAUCAAAUAGUAUUUGUUUGACCUUCUGAAAAGGCAAAAAGGAAGAUGGGGGAGGCGUGUUGGAUUAUGCUCCAUUUAGGACACUCUGCUUAAGCAAAAGAUUCGUUUUUUUUAGUGUCUUUGCAGUGACAUGUGAUGGAUUUCAUAAUGGAAGUUGCUGUUCUGCUCUAGUAAUAAAAGUUUGAAUAUAUAUGUAGAAAGUGAAGUAAUUAAUUUUGUUGAGGAAACUAAUGUGCAUUAAUCUUUAAGAGAUGAGAACUGACCAUUUUUUGCCAAUGAUGGAGCACCUCUAUCAAUCACCAACUUUCAUGUACCUUCAUUCUUUUGCUCAUUUCUUUGGGUGUUGGUAUUAUUACCAGUCAAUGUGACAAGAUAUUCUUGAGACUGUGUGAGUGGUGGACCGGGUCACUCUUCAGACCAUAGUAUUCAGCUGUUUUCUUCUUUAUCUUUAAUUCCUCCUGUGGAUGGUUAAAGGGCAAACAAAUGCCUAGUCUUGGCAGUUUUGGUUGCAUUGUACUCCCUGUAUAGCAGAUACUUAUAAUUAAGUGGAGUAUUACUCUGCUUCUUUCUUCUCACCUUCUGGUUAACAGAGGUAGAGAGAAAAACUGCAGUUCAGAUCAGGCUUUAAAUUGUUUUGCACUUUACCUUUGAUCAUUUCGGGUAGGGGUAAGGCUCGACUACAUAUUACCCUCCCCAGACCUCACCUAGUGGGAGCAUAUUGGGUAGUUGUUGUUGUUGUUGUUUACCUUUGAUCAUAAUGGCUAUAAACGUCACUUUUUUAAUGUAAUGUUGGUAAGUAGAUUUGUGUAGUUUGAUGAUCCAAACCCCAGGGCAGCUGGUUAAUUGCUGUCCAUUGUUGUACUGUAGAAGUUGGACAUGAUUGAGCUUGGAAGAUCCAGACUACCAUUGAUUGCGAAAUUCUUCAUAAUUUUUGAUUAAUACUCUUCAAAUAAGAAACUUUUCUUAUUUUGAACAUUGGGUGACUGAUACUGUAGGAUCCUUUUUUGUGUGUGUGUGUCUGUGUGUGAUUAACCUGCAGGCAAGAUGAAGAGUCCAAUAAUUAAAUUCAAAGCUCAACCGAGGGAGUUUUACCAAUUAAAGGGCAACAUUUAACACCGGAGAAGAUGACUAACUUUGCUGAUUAAGAAGACUGCACGAUUUGUUGCUGAUAUAUUUAUUUAUUUGUGAAGUCGUCAAAAAUUAGAUUCGGUGACUGCACAUCAAACUAAAGUCAAGUCCCAUUAUAAGUCAAGUCCCAUUAUUAUUAUAUAGAAUAGUACUACGAUUAAAGCAUGGAGGUGCGCAUAAAAUUAUCCUUAAGGUGGAGUUGCUCUAAUAUGUUUUUUAUUUUUAAUAAGAAAAGUUCUUGAUUACAUACUGUGCCAGUUCCGAUACCAAAAACCUAAAAGGAAUCUUCUUAUAUAAUCACUUUGAAGAAAGUAAAAAAAAGAACAGUUAAUUCGGAGUUAUUGAGAACUUGUUUAUCUCUGUUACCAGUAUGAUUGAAUACUCCACGUUAAUAACAAGAGAUAGAAAUAAAUAUUUCUUCCUCUAUUCCAAUUUAUGUGAACUUAUAUUUUUUAUUGGUCCAUUUUUAAAAAAAAUCUUUUUUUAAAUUUGGAAAUAAUUUAGCUUAAACUUCCAAUUCUAUUCUUAAUGAGAAAUUUUUAUAACAACAUAAAUAUUUUGGAUCCAUUUUUGACUUGUUUAUGACCACAAAUUUAAAAAAAAUUAUUUUUUCUUAAACUUCAUGCUCGCUCAAAUAUGUUUACAUAAAUUGAAACGGAGGGAUAGUACUAGCAAAUAAAUGGACCAUAAUGCUUUGUACUUUGUAUAAUGCUAUAAACCCAAAGAGUUGCGCAAUAUUGUAGUCUGCAGAGGCUGUAGGGCAAUUUAUAUAAAUUUAAAAAUUACUGCACCAAAGCAAUAAGUAUGUCACGACCCAAUUUCCAAAUUCGAUCGUGAUGGCGCCUAUCGUGAAGACAAGGCAGGCCAGACCGUUUCAGAACACCACUUAAAGCAGUUAGUCAGUUAUAUAACAGUUCGAAUAUAAAUUAAUGAUAUUAAUCAAUAUAAUUACAACCCAAUAUAGUCCGACCGGGGUGUCACAAGUCACGAGCAUCUAGGAAUGCCUUUAUUAAAUUUCAAAGUCUAUAAUACAUAGAGUAAACUCUGGGAAUCAAGAAGAAGAAGAAACUCGGUGCCGCGAACGCCAGCAAUCACCUUGCUUAGCUACGAUAGCAAUACCUUCAAUCCGCUGCUAACCCGCUACCGGAUGAACAGUACCUGCAACUGCACGCAAGGUGCAGGGAGUAGGGGUGUACAAAAAAAUUGACAAACCGCACCAAUCCGAUAAUCCGAGUCAAACAGAGAAAAAACCCGACACAAUUUGGUUUGAGUUGGUUUGGUAUUGGAAAAAAAACCGACCAUAAUUGGUUUGGUUUGGUUUGGUUUUAACUAAUGAAAGCCAAACCGAAACCAAACCAACCCGACACUACAUAUAUAGAAAUUUUAGGUAUAAUUAAUAUAUAAAUAUACUUAUUGUAAUGUAAUUUAUAAAUAUUUCUUAAAAAAUUUCANNNNNNNNNNNNNNNNNNNNNNNNNNNNNNNNNNNNNNNNNNNNNNNNNNNNNNNNNNNNNNNNNNNNNNNNNNNNNNNNNNNNNNNNNNNNNNNNNNNNNNNNNNNNNNNNNNNNNGAGAUUGGACUUAGAACUUUUGAAUGCUCCAAUAAAUUUUAUAGCCAUUAAUAUUAGUAAAUUAAGUAAUGCUAAUAAUCACUACUUAUGCUAACAAAAAACAUUCAAUUCAAUAUUACGAACGAGAAUGUAUUGAAUUCUAUUUUUUUGUUUUGCAAUAAUUUAGAUAAAAAUGCAUAACCUAUUUUUAUUUUGCUUUAGAUUUUUUUAUUUUGCAAUAAUUUAGAUAAAAAUACAUAACAUAUUUUUAUUCUUCUUUAGCUUUUAGGCAUAUAAUUAAUACUUCCUCAUUAGUCUAUCUAGUUUAGCAUGACUUAGUGUUUUAGAUUAUGUUUAUUUUUAUUAUGACUUUUUAAUUAGCAAUAUUUAUAUUACAUAAUUUUAUUGUCUUUAUUGUUGAAUACUUUAGGAUAAUGUCAUGACACAUCUCAUAUUCUGUAUUAUUUUAUUGAAAAAUACUUUAUAUAGUUUUAUCUUACUAGGAUUAAAGAAAUAUUUUGCGAUUAAAUAAUAGUUUUGUCCUACAAAGAUUUUACAGGAAAAAUAAUUCGAAAAAAACCCGAAUAACCCGAAAACCCGAGAAAAAUCCGAGAAAAAUUGACACUAAAAACCCGAGUUUUAUUGGUUUGGUUUGGUCUUUAGCUUUAAUAACCUGACACAAUUGGUUUGGUUUGGUAAUUUGUAAAAUCCGAACCAACCCGGCCUAUGUACACCCCUAGCAGGGAGUAAAGUGAGUACUUCUAACUUAUUGGUAAUAAGAGAGAAUAAUAUAUGAGCGAUAAGAAAACACGUAUGGCCACACCAAACUGCUAUAUAAGAUAGAACAACCCUUUGAGAAAAAUCGGAAUACUGUGAAAAUCCUUUUUAGAAAAAUCUUAAGAUCAGUUCAAAAUCUCUUUUACAAAGUCUCUUUUUCAAAUAUCUCUUUUAUUUUCAACAGNNNNNNNNNNNNNNNNNNNNNNNNNNNNNNNNNNNNNNNNNNNNNNNNNNNNNNNNNNNNNNNNNNNNNNNNNNNNNNNNNNNNNNNNNNNNNNNNNNNNNNNNNNNNNNNNNNNNNNNNNNNNNNNNNNNNNNNNNNNNNNNNNNNNNNNNNNNNNNNNNNNNNNNNNNNNNCAACAAGGCAAGUAACAGUAUAUAUGCCAAUGAUAUAUGAGUGAUAAAUGUCAUGCCACGUAGUACAAACAUGAGUGAAUGCGUGAAUGCAAUGCAAUGCGCAUGACCGCUACGGCGUGUAGCCCGAUCCAAGGGUACCGUGCGUUCACUAGGGGUGUGUACAAACUCCGGAGGGGCUCCUACAGCCCAAGCGCUAUAUCAUUGCGGCGUGCAGCCCGAUCCAUAUAAUAUACUACUGUGGCGUGCAGACCGAUCCAUAUAAUAUACUACUGCGGCGCGCAGUAUGAUCCAUGCAAUAUGCUACUGCGGCGUGCAGUCCGAUCCAUGCAAUAUGCUAUUGUGGCGUGCAGUACGAUCCAUGCAAUAUGUUACUGCGGCGUGCAGUCUGAUCCAUGCAAUAUGCUAUUAUGGCGUGCAGUCCGAUCCAUGCAAUAUGCUAUUGCGGCGUGCAGUCCGAUCCAUGCAAUAUACUACUACGACGUGCAGUCUGAUCCAUGCAAUAUGCUACUGCGGCAUGCAGUCCGAUCUAUGCAAUAUGCUACUGCGACGUGCAGAUCCAUGCAAUAUGCUACUGCGGCGUGCAGUCCGAUCCAUGCAUGUAUAAAUAUGGACACAUAACACUCGAGGCUUGGAAGCCUCCUUACAUCACUCUUCAUGCCCUCACAUAUGGUCCUCAGCCUCAAUCAGUCUAAAAUAGUCAAAAUCACAUCGGGCAUCCGUAAAACGAUAAUACUCAGCUCAAACAAUAGUUCAAAUAACAAUUAAAACUCCAAGUUUGAGAAAAAUAUAGCUGACUUCAUGAAACUGUGUGAAUCACAUGGACUGAGUUCAAAUAAUCUUUCAAAUAGUGAGGAAAACUGUGAUGAUAGUUCAUNNNNNNNNNNNNNNNNNNNNNNNNNNNNNNNNNNNNNNNNNNNNNNNNNNNNNNNNNNNNNNNNNNNNNUGAUGAUAGUUCAUAAAGAGUUCAAAUAAUUGGCAAUAAGCCCCAAGUAUGGCAAUGAGCCCAAGUCAUAAUGAUAACAACAAUCAUUUGCAAUUUCGCGGUGAAAACCAACAACCGAGACGGACCAAGUCACAAUCCCCAACAGUGCUCUACCACACGCUCAGGUUCAGCAUGCAAGUCACCUCAAUACAACACUAAGAUGUGCAAAUCCGUUGUUUCAAACCAUCAGGAUAUCAUUCCCAAGUAUUACUCACCUCGAACCGGUGAAAUUCCUCGCUCGCGACACCUUUGCCCCUCAAAUUGGCCUCUACGCGCGUCAAAUCUAACCAAAAUCAGUACAAAUAUAUCAUAAUAUACUAAUGGGACAACAUCUAAUCGAAAACAAUCGAAAUAUAACAAAAAUCUCGAAACUAGCAAAACCCGAGCCUCGAGCCCACAUCUCGAAAUUCAGAAAAAUUUACACCAAAACAAUUUUUAUCACGACACGAGUCCACACAUCAAAUUUACAAGAAUCGGAUUCCAUUUGACCCCUCAAAUCAACACUUUAAACUCACUAGGGUUUCAAGCACUAAUCACCAUUUUUAACCUUGAAAACCUUGAAUUCUUAGUGUUUAAUCUAUAUUUUUACACUAUAAUGACAUACUCUAAGUCCAAGAAUCCAUACCUGAUGAUUUCCCCCAAAAUNNNNNNNNNNNNNNNNNNNNNNNNNNNNNNNNNNNNNNNNNNNNNNNNNNNNNNNNNNNNNNNNNNUAAAUCCUCUUCAAAAUCGCUCCCAAACUCGCCUUAGUCCGAGGUCCAAAUGUUCUUCUCUUUUCAAACUUGUGAAAUCACUGCUCAUUAAACCCAACACGUUUUUCUCUUCUGCUGUCAUAUCUCCGCUUAUGCGGCUCUCGAAUCUGCGGCCUCUCGACCGCUUUUGCGGUCCAACUUAUUCUCCUAGGGACCGCUUUUGCAAUCAACUACCGUUUACGCGGUCACCGCCUAUGUGGUCUUCCUUCCGCACCCGUGAUCCAGGUCAACCUCCCAUUGGCCGCUUUUGCGGCUCACCCGCCGCGUCUGUGGAACCGCUUAAGCGGCUCCUUUUCUACAGACGCGAAAAUAGCAGAAGCAGCACAUCCAAGAAUGCCAAAAACUCCUACCACCUGCGUUCAACCAUCCGAAAUUACCCCGAGGCCCCCGGGUCUAAACCAAAAAUACAUAUAUGAUCUAAUACCUUAUUCAAACUUGCUCGAGCCAUAAAAUACUAACAUUAACACCAAAAGUCACCAAAUUCCUCCAAUCCAAGCCUAAGUUUCUUAAGAACUUCCGAAAUGUACAUACGACCAAAAGUCCAACCAAACGAUGUUCGAAUGACCUGAAAUUUUUCACACAUAUCCAAAUUUACCUAACGGAGCUACUGCAGCUCUCGGAAUCCCAUUCUGACCCUCAGAUCAAAAUCUCACCUAUCAACCGGAAUUCGCCGAAAUUCCAACUUCGCCAAUUCAAGACAAAUUCUACACCGGACCUCCAGAUUCGCUUCUGAUCGAACUCCUAAGUCACAAAUCAUCCCCCGAAGCUAACCGAACCACCGAAAUUCACAUCCGAGCCCUCUAAUCACAUAGUCGACUUCCGGUUGACUUUUCUAAAACAAGCUUCCUUCUAAGAGGCUAUGUGCCUUAUUUUCAACCAAAAUCAAUUCAAUUACACCCGAUCAAAUCUAAUACUGAUAUUGAAACAUGAAUCAUACAAUAAUGGGGAAACGGGGCGGUAACUCGCGUGAUAAUGGGUCGGGUCAUCACAAAGUAUAAAAUAUUUAUUUUUAUCGGCAAAGGGCCAAAUGUAUCCCUGUAAUUUCGAAAAAGGUUUAAAUAUAUCCCUCGUUACACUUUGAACCUAAAUAUAUCCCUGAUUUAACGGAAUGGCACGUGUCAUUAUCAUAUUGGCCAAUUUUAAAUAUCUCAUAAUUAAUUAAAAGGACUAAUAUCCAUACACGGAAGAAAAAGAUGGCUUCGUUUUAUUAUAUUCUUUCUCUUGAUCACAGCUACCUGCAGUCGCUGGCAUUGAGUGAAAUACUUCUCUAAUUGUCAUAACUUAUUUCUUCUCCGUCUUUUUUCUUUCGUUUUUUCAACCUAUGAACUACCAAAAAACUAAUUUUUUUCCCUGUAGUACGGUGAUGGGAAUUGACAUCCAAAAAGAUGAAAUACUUUUGGACAUCCUCAGCAGGCUGCAGGCUACCAGUGAACUCACUUCGUUUCAAGUGUGUUUCAAAAUCUUGGAAUACAUUGAUCUCUGAACCUUAUUUUUAGAGAAAAACAUCUCAAUCAUGUUAAGCACCAACCCAAUUCCCAAAACUUUCCUUUUUCCCAAUGGUCCAAUAAGGAUAAACAAUAUUACUUCUAUUGUUCUUCUUUAACCUUGGUUCAACUUGUUAAGAUAUCCGAAGAUUUAAUUGGCCCAGGCGAUUGUAUAAAAGUCUGUUCUUGUUGCGAUGGCUUGUUUCUCAUUGGGAUCUGGAUUAUUCCUAAUCAAGAAGAGCCUUCAAUAUUAUUGAUAUGGAAUCCCUCCACAGGAGAAUCAAUACUACUUCUUCGUUGCCUAGGCGGAGUUAGAAUUUCAAACUUAUAAAUUCAAUAUUUUGAGCUUUUUAAGCUACUCGGUUCUAAUUUAUUAAUUUAUAAUUAAUUAAUAAAAUUUUCAAGACAAAUACAUGGUUUGAACCAAAGUUAUUGGGUUCGUCGAACCCGGAGCCACAAUGCGUGCUCCGCCCCUAUGCUUAUGGUUGAUGAAAGACUAUAAUGUUGAAGAAUCUUGGACUCUUAUGAAACAAUAAAGGAAGAAGAGUAUUGUAGAGCAAAGUAGAGAGAGAGAGGGAAUUCUUAUUGAAUUUUGGGAUGAUUUACAAUGGGGUAAGACCCCUUUAUUUAUAGGAGGAAAAAUGACUUAGCCUCAAAGUAAAACUCUCUACAACAUAGACAUUCACUCCAAAUAGAAUUAUAUUCUUAACACUCCCCUUUGAAUGUCUACUCAAUAAGUAAUGUGGCUCAUUAAAAACCUUAACUAAAAUAAAACCCAAUGGAAAAAAAUUCUAGGAAAAAAAAGAGUACACAUGUUUAGAAAUGCGCCUAUUGGUUGCAUCGUUAAAAAAACCUUGCAAGGAAAACCCAGUGGGACAAAACCUUGUAAGGAAAAAAGAGUGCNNNNNNNNNNNNNNNNNNNNNNNNNNNNNNNNNNNNNNNNNNNNNNNNNNNNNNNNNNNNNNNNNNNNNNNNNNNNNNNNNNNNNNNNNNNNNNNNNNNNNNNNNNNNNNNNNNNNNNNNNNNNNNNNNNNNNNNNNNNNNNNNNNNNNNNNNNNNNNNNNNNNNNNNNNNNNNNNNNNNNNNNNNNNNNNNNNNNNNNNNNNNNNNNNNNNNNNNNNNNNNNNNNNNNNNNNNNNNNNNNNNNNNNNNNNNNNNNNNNNNNNNNNNNNNNNNNNNNNNNNNNNNNNNNNNNNNNNNNNNNNNNNNUAUAACAAGAUAUAUUUGUGCAUAAAUUGCAUUAAGGAAGUGGUACCUCAAGAUCAAGAAUUGUAGAUACUUCAAGCAACUUAAAUCCUUCAUGGAUUUUUUUUUCUGGUAAUUAAAUUUUUUUUAAUUAAUCACCAAAAGGAUGUCAAUGCAGCACUUUGAUGUUCUCACGUGUUAACUAGAGAAUCAUCCAACUAGACAUUCACUACAAUGCUAUACUAAACUUCUAUUUUACAGAAAAAACCGCNNNNNNNNNNNNNNNNNNNNNNNNNNNNNNNNNNNNNNNNNNNNNNNNNNNNNNNNNNNNNNNNNNNNNNNNNNNNNNNNNNNNNNNNNNNNNNNNNNNNNNNNNNNNNNNNNNNNNNNNNNNNNNNNNNNNNNNNNNNNNNNNNNNNNNNNNNNUCCAAUUCAUAGUGUGAUUCCUUAGUUCAGUAGCAAAUGAGCAAGUAAAGAAAAGAUGAUCCCUGGUUUCAAUCUCUUGCUGGCACAGAACACAUUGAGAAUCAACAGUUAAAGACCAAUGUAACAGUCUAGAUUUGGUAGGCAGUCUAUCAUGGAGGAUCAGCCAUAGAGUAAAGACAGCCUUAGGCCUCGCAUGAUUUUGUGUUAUUAGAUUCUUCCAAUGAACUCUCGGCAGUUGCCCAAUCUGAUACAAAUAGAGGGAUCUAAUAGAACAAACUGGAUUAUAUAGACCCUGCCUCAGAUGUAUCAUGUCAUAAGCUGCAAAAAAAUUUCGAACCAUCCAACUGGCUUGCUUAGGUACAGGAGUGUUUUCCACUUGUUGCUGCUUUAUAUAAAUAGAAUGUAUCCAUUUGACCCAUAGAGUAUCUUUUGAGUGUUUUCCACUUAGUACUGCUUUAUAUAAACAGAAUGUAUCCAUUUGUCCCAUAGAGUAUCUUUCUUAUGAGCCAAAUCCCAGGAUAACUUAGCAAUGGCAGCCCUGUUCCAUAUUAAGAGAUUUGUGAGAUUCAGACCACCUGCUGAUUUAGGUAAACACAUUUUGUCCCAUGCAAUGUAUGCUUUCUUAGUGAACCUGACCAAAUAAAGCUUCUGCAAUGAGCUUCAAUCAUUCUCAGAAUCUUGGAAGGAAUAAGAAACAGUUGAGCCCAAUAAGCCUGAAUGCCAAAUAAAACUGAUUGUACUAACUGUAUCCUGCCUGCAUAUGAUAAUUUUCGAGUAGUCCAUGAUGUAAUUCUGGCAGUGAUUUUAUCCACCAAAGCUUGCCACUGGAUAAGUGUCAUCUUCUUAGUAGUAAGAGGAAUGCCCAAAUAUUUGAAAGGCAAAACUCCACAGCCAUAGCCUAAUUGUUGAGUGAUCUGCAGUUUAACCUCUGAACUGACACCUCCAAAAUACACUGAGCUUUUGUUCAAGUUGGCUUUCAGACCUGAGGCUUCAGUGAAUUGAGAGAAAAGUUUGAACAUAGUAAGAACAGAUUGUGUAUCACCUUUAGAAAACAAUAGCAGAUCAUCUGCAAAGCUAAUAUGAGUGGUGCCCAGUUUUUUACAACCUGGAUGAUAUAUAUAAGCUUGAUGGUGCUUCAGUUGAGCCAAUGAUCUGCUGAGAUAUUCCAUAGCAAUUGCAAAUAGAAAGGGGGAUAUAGAAUCACCUUGCCUAAGGCCUUUGGCAGCUUAAAAGGAACAGUUGUUUCUCCAUUGAACAAUAUAGUAUAACUCACACUUUGAACACAUUGCAUGAUCCAGUUUAUAAACCUGUUUGGAAAUCCCAAAGCUUCAAGAACUUGCUGCAGGAAGAUCCACUUUACAAAAUCAUAAGCCUUUUGCAAAUCAAUUUUAAUCAUGCACCUUGGAGAGAUAUGAGAUCUGGUAUAGUUCUUGAUUAAUUCAUGGGCUAGUAUCACAUUGUCUGCAAUNNNNNNNNNNNNNNNNNNNNNNNNNNNNNNNNNNNNNNNNNNNNNNNNNNNNNNNNNNNNNNNNNNNNNNNNNCUAGUAUCACAUUUGCAAAUCAAUUUUAAUCAUGCACCUUGGAGAGAUAUGAGAUCUGGUAUAGUUCUUGAUUAAUUCAUGGGCUAGUAUCACAUUGUCUGCAAUCUUUCUACCUGGUAUGAAUCCAGCUUGGGCUGUACAUAUGAUGCUAGGCAUAACAUGUUGCACUCUGUUAGAAAGAACUUUAGAUAUCAACUUGUACAAUACUGAGAAGCAUGCAAUUGGCCUAAACUCCUUGAUUGUAGUUGGACUAGGAACUUUAGGGAUCAAAGUAAGAGAAGCACAAUUGACAGGAUAGUAAAUUCUGUUAGUAAGGAAAAAAUCCUUAACUGCAUGAAUAAUCUGUUUACCAGUUAUGUUCCAUGUCUUCUUAAAGAAAACUGCAUUAUAGCCAUCAAUUCCAGGGGCUCUAUCAUCUCCAAUAGCUUUUAAGCUUGCAAUAAUCUCCAGAUCAGAAACAUCUUCACUGAAGGACCUUCUCUGUUGCUGUGUUAAAAUAGGGCCAUUGGCCAUAUACUUUCGAUUUAUGGCUGGUAAGGAUGCAGCAGCUGUACCCAUUAAGGCUUUAUAAAAGUCAGUAACUUCUUUCUUAAUAUCAGCUGGACUGGAUAUCUUGAAACCUUCAACUGUAAUUAGUUCAGAAGUAUGUUUAUGCUGGUUUCUUUCUUUCAAGAUGGCAGAAAAAUACUUAUUAUUAGAAUCACCCAACUAGAUCCAUUUAGCCCUGGACUUUUGCUGUAAUAGACUUUCUUCUAUCAAAGACCAUUUCUCCAAGUUCACUGCUAUCUCUUUCUCCUUGAGUUGCAAUGCAUUAGUGUAGGCCAAGCUCAACUGCUUCUGGAUAUCCUUUAACUCUUGUCUACUAUCAACAAUUCUUUGACUAAUGUUCUUAAAAUCUUUGAUGUUUAAAGAUUUUAAAGGGCCUUUUAGAGAUUUGGGAUUAGUCCACACAUCCUUCAAAGUAGCCUGACUUUUACAAUGCCAAUUGUCUCUAAUGAACUGGUAAAAAUCUGCAUGAGAAGUCCAUGAGUUGAAGAAUCUGAAAGGUGGCUUCCCUAUCUUAGAAGUUUCUGUCAAUGUGAUCACCAUAGAGCUAUGAUCAGAUAUUAAAGGAUGCAUGACUCCAAUUAAUCAUCCAUUCAUAGUUGCCAAAAGAUCUAUCCAGUCUACUACAAAUUCACUACCACUUUGCCUAUUUGUCCAAGUAAAAUAUUCACCUUUCCAAGGAAGUUCAGAAAGACCAGCCUGGUGAAUGCAUUGAGUAAAUUCUUGAACCUCAGCCUGUUUAACAUGAUUAUCUGACUGUCUAUCUUGAGGAUACAGCACAUCAUUAAAAUCUCCAGUAACUAGCCAAGAUUCUGUAAUGUUAGUAGCCAAAUCCUGUAGAUUCUUCCACAGUGAUCUCCUCUGAGUUAUCCCAUUGAAUCCAUAUACCACAGUAAGGUAAUAGUUGAUAUCACCAGAUAUAUUCCUAACUCUGCAAUGGAUCAGUUGAGCAUCUUCUUGAAGUGCAGUGACCUUAAGAAACUGUGUAUCCCACAGAAUCCAGAUUCGACCAUUAAGAGCAUAUUUGAUAGUUAUUUAUAAAUUUCCAUCCAAGAACCAGCAACUUAGCAACCCUUUCUGCAUUAUGUUCUUUAACUUUAGUCUCUACCAAACCCACAAUGGUAAUAUUAUUCUUCCUAAUGUACUCCUUAACUUCCUUUUGUUUAUAUCUUUUAUUUACACCCCUUAUGUUCCAAACUAAGCACUUCAUUGACAUAAACUAGGUCCACCUUCAUCCCCUGGAGGCUUUCCCACUCUACCACCAGAAAUUAUUUCAAAGCGGUUACUGAUCACAAUAGGAGAUAAAGGAGGGAAGUUAGUUACAUUAAAUUCUGGGGAUUGAACCUGCUUUCCUUUAUCAACCUAUCUAUUCAUACUGGAUGCCAGUGGAGGUGAAACUGGAGGCUGUUGGCCUGUAGUACUCUUCAGCGGGACAGGUUGUGGAGGAGCAAUUUCCUGUUGCAUCUGGACAGUUGAUGUUUUAAUUCUCCAUUCCUGAACCUUUUGUGGUUUCUUCUCUGGGUCAGGCUGACUUGGCUUUGCCUUCAUAAGGCAGUUAUGUCCCACCAUGCUGCAUUUCUCACAAAAGUUGGUUUCCAAUCAUAAAUCACCUCUUGUAGAAAUUUCUUGCCAUUAGGAUCCAUUAUCCAAAUAUCCCCAGGUAGUUCUUUAGUAACAUUCAUUUCUAUUAACAUACGAGCAUAGGAAACUCUAGUUUGUUUAGUGGUACACUCAUCAGCAAAUAAGGGAUUCCCUAGUACACUGGCAAUCCUGCUCAAGGAUUUCAUUCCCCAACAUGACAUAGGUAGUUUGGGAAAUUUGACCCAUAAUGGUAUCUCAACAGGAAAUUCUUUAGUAAAAUCUAAAUCUGCCGACCACUGUUUGAGAAUCAAAGGUCAAGUUUGGGAAAUUUGACCCAUAAUAGUAUCUCAACAGGAAAUUCUUUAGUAAAAUCAAAAUCUGCCGACCACUGUUUGAGAAUCAAAAGUCUAUUUGCUAUAGAGUAAGGGCCAGCACACAUGAUCUCUUUAGCAUCACUCAUGGAUUUGAACUUCACAAUGUAAUAACCCCCUUCAUGAUAAAACAGAUCCGGCUCAGGUACCUGUGCCCAAUGAGUGUGGAUGAAUUUCUUCAUCGGAUUGUAUCCAGGUCCCUCCCCUAUCAUGUAAAUGAUAGGGCACAUCUCCACUUGUUUUCCUCCUCCUCCACCUCUGUUUUAUCCAGUAUCCCUACUGGUUGCCCUUCCAUCAAUAUCGGGGGAAUGUACUCCAAAGUCAUACCAUUAGAUGCAAAUCGAUUCUUCUGAAAUAGGCUAGCCCAGUUUCUCUGUGGUACAUCAGCAUUAUCUAUCGCCUCCUCACCUGGUUUAGCUGUCACAGCUUGAGUUUGGACUAAUGUGGCCUUCUGCAUGUGUUGAUUCUCAGCAGCACCCUGCUUCAUCGAAGGCAUCGAUGGUUCAAUCAAAGCAGGAAAGCUAUGAUCUAAGUUUAUCAGAAUUAUCUAUCGCCUCCUCACCUGGUUUAGCUGUCACAGCUUGAGUUUGGAUUAAUGUGGCCUUCUGCAUGUGUUGAUUUUCAGCAGCACCCUGCUUCAUCGAAGGCAUCGAUGGUUCAAUCAAAGCAGGAAAGCUAUGAUCUAAGCUACUGACUUCAUCAACCUGCUGUAAAAACACAUUUUCCUCCUCUUCAUCUCCAGAAUCACUUAUGAUUCCCAAAAAUUAUAUUUACUUAGCUUGAAAGCGAAUCAAAUAAGAUAUCGAAAACUGAUUGCACAUGCCAUUGACUUUAUACUUUUAAGUAUUUGAACUACAUGUCCAAAACUACAUGUCUUUCAUAUGUAAUCAAUUCUACUUGAAUUGUAUCUCUUUCAUUUGGCCAAUACUCUUAUGUCUAUAUUUGAUAGACUUAAGAUCCUCAUCUAAACUUAGUGCUAUGAUAGAUAUCGUCGACGAACAUGUUAUAUCGGUUCCAAUAAAUUUUCAUAAAGACAUAACAUAGAGAUCUCUUCAUUCAUAUAUUUANNNNNNNNNNNNNNNNNNNNNNNNNNNNNNNNNNNNNNNNNNNNNNNNNNNNNNNNNNNNNNNNNNNNNNNNNNNNNNNNNNNNNNNNNNNNNNNNNNNNNNNNNNNNNNNNNNNNNNNNNNNNNNNNNNNNNNNNNNNNNNNNNNNNNNNNNNNNNNNNNNNNNNNNNNNNNNNNNNNNNNNNNNNNNNNNNNNNNNNNNNNNNNNNNNNNNNNNNNNNNNNNNNNNNNNNNNNNNNNNNNNNNNNNNNNNNNNNNNNNNNNNNNNNNNNNNNNNNNNNNNNNNNNNNNNNNNNNNNNNNNNNNNNNNNNNNNNNNNNNNNNNNNNNNNNNNNNNNNNNNNNNNNNNNNNNNNNNNNNNNNNNNNNNNNNNGAUUUGCUCAUCUUCUUUAUCAAGAAGUUCUAUUUGAAACUGAUUUGUCUAUACGCUUUAAACUUACCAUAGAUUGUCCUUCUAGGACUUAAUAUGAGCAUUUGCAAUGAGAAUAUAGUUACUUUCUUUGGGUCAGCAAAUGCGUAUGGCAUGCUUUGCAAUAUGUUGCAAAUGAAUUAUCGUUUUAUGAACUUAAAGUUCAUAUUAUCGUAAUCAAGGAUCUAGACAUACAAAUAAUAAUCCAUUCCGCGUAACUUUUUCUUAAGUGUUUAUCAUAUCUCCCCCUCAUGUUAGAAAAACUAACUUGUUUUCUCAACUUUGAGAAUCCANNNNNNNNNNNNNNNNNNNNNNNNNNNNNNNNNNNNNNNNNNNNNNNNNNNNNNNNNNNNNNNNNNNNNNNNNNNNNNNNNNNNNNNNNNNNNNNNNNNNNNNNNNNNNNNNNNNNNNNNNNNNNNNNNNNNNNNNNNNNNNNNNNNNNNNNNNNNNNNNNNNNNGCACCGGCCAGGUUGCAGGUUAAUAAUAAUCGCACAUGUAACCAUCUCAUAGAUGCAUCUUAUGUGGUAUACAUGGCAGAUGAAUGGGACCAUAUUCACCUUUGAUAUUUCCAGCAUUCAUGGCAUUCAAUCCCAAUUUUAGUUGGUCUAUUAAUUAAUAAGAACAAGCAAUGUAAGAGAAUUUAUAAAGAACUUUCUAGUUCUUUAAUAUUUGCCCAUGUGAAUUCUCUAUUAUUUUUGCACGUCAUGCUUAAAUUGAUAUGACUAAACUGAUUAUACCAACUGAAUAAAUUUUCAGUAUUGAUAAGUUCAGGUUUACACCAUGACAUGUGCAACUAUCAAUAAACUCCGGGUUUAUUAUGAUAUGGGUUUUUAUAUUAAUAAACAUUCAUUUUAUUGUGGCAUUUUUUUGUUUGUGUAGUACAAACUGAAAAAUAAAGCGGGUAGCUUUUCACAUACAGAUUAUCCCACUACAAGUUGUAGUAAUAGAAGAUAUNNNNNNNNNNNNNNNNNNNNNNNNNNNNNNNNNNNNNNNNNNNNNNNNNNNNNNNNNNNNNNNNNNNNNNNUUUCCUUUAUUUAUUGUCUCAAUAUAAUCAACCGCUUUCGCGUGUACUUUGGAAACUGAAUAAGUUUCUUUGAGACUUACUACAACACAAUAAAUUGACUUGAUAAUCAAUUGUAUUACCCCAAAAUAGUAAUAAUUGGCUCUUCCAGAGCUCUCAUUUAAUUUUGUACUACUACAAAUUCAUCGACAUCCAUGUUAUGAAUAUCUCUUUUAAAGAGAAAGUGGUCAUGAUCAAAAUUAUAUGCAAGAUAUGUUUCUUGUAUUAUUGUUGUCCUUUAAUAAUCACAUUGUCAAAAUAUUUAGGCGUACAAUAGGUACGUGACCACUGACCAUUCAUGCCAUAAUAAUGAUAUUAUUUAUUUUUUUCAUCUCAAACCACAUUCUAGAGGUGAGUGUGGUAUAUUCAAUACCAAUAGCAUGUUCAUAUUCUUCCAAAAAUAAACAUGUCUUUAUAAAUCAGAUGUUGUCACAUUCCCAUCAUGAAUCGACCAUAAUCAUCUAUAUGUGCUAUAUAAAAUCUCAUGUCAAAUCGAUGACAGAUAUUACUUUNNNNNNNNNNNNNNNNNNNNNNNNNNNNNNNNNNNNNNNNNNNNNNNNNNNNNNNNNNNNNNNNNNNNNNNNNNNNNNNNNNNNNNNNNNNNNNNNNNNNNNNNNNNNNNNNNNNNNNNNNNNNNUAUAAUUUCGUCUAUUGCCACGUCCACAUCCAUUGAUACCUUCACGGUAAUAAUUUUGUCUUCUUUCAGACUUAUCACAUACUGCUAUCACAUCCUCUAAAAGGAAUGAGAAUGGAGCAAAUUCAAUGGGACGGAUUUUUAAUUCUUUGCUCACAAUCAUACAUGAUUUUGAUCAUGACAAGACAUAGAAAUUUUACUACUUUAGGUGGGUGUAAUUUCUUACAAACUCCACUAGAGUUAUAAUCAAACUUUGUUGUCUUGCUUGUACAUAAAAUCAAAUUAUAGAAUUUCAAGAACUUAAAAGAGAAAAAUAAAGUAAAAUACUUACCUUAAAUCCAGAAUUUAAUCAUGAAGGAAGUUNNNNNNNNNNNNNNNNNNNNNNNNNNNNNNNNNNNNNNNNNNNNNNNNNNNNNNNNNNNNNNNNNNACAGAACAAUUGACAAUCAUUAUGCUCAAUCCCAAAGUUUUUACUCAAUUGGUUAGAGUCUCGUGCUGAUAACGUGUUAUGAAACAAUAAAAGAAGAAGGGUAUUGUAGAGCAAAGUAGAGAGAAAGGGAAUUCUUAUUGAAUUUUGGGAUGAUUUACAAUGGGAUAAGACCCCUCUAUUUAUAGGAGGAAAAAUGACUUAGCCUCAAAGUAAAAUUCUCUACAAGAUAGACAUUCACUCCACAAAAAAUUUAUUCUUAACAUGGACAAAAUUGUUCGUUGUAUCAAAUAAUGGAAUUCAGCGUAUCAUACCAUUAUACAUGUUUUCAGAUGGUGAAGUACUACUCAGGUAUAAAGGAUGGAGAACACUCACAAAAAUUGAAUAUAGGAUAAUAUCAGCACUCUUUUUUGUUACUACAACAUGUUAUUCUUAUAAUUUUAUCUACUGAUUUGAAAUGUAAUGCCUUUAGAAAUUGCGUACCUUCAAUUUAUUAUAUAGUUUAGUUUUGACUUCUAUGUAUUAAUUAUGUUAGUAAAUCAAGUUUUCUUCUAGAUGCACAUGUGCUCAUUCUGUUCAUUUUGUUAGUAACUCAUGCUUUCUACUUGGGAAAGUGUUACUGUGUAGCCGCCAAAAAAAUAACAGUCGAAAAAAUAUAUAAAAAUUAUAUAUAUAUAUAUAUAUAUAUAUAUAUUAUUUUAUUUUACACCGACAAUUUCCGAAUAUUUUACUUUCCAAAAAUUGUCCUUGAGGUUUCGAGCUAUAAAUAAUUUCUGACUCCGGCUAAAAAUGAUAAUACGUCUUUCUACUUCACGAGCAGGGGCGGACCCCAUCUUAUAAAAAUAGGGUUUACUUGAGUCCGCUUGUUCUAAGUGGAUUGUUUGAUUCCAGAUUAAUAGUAUAUGGGUCUGAGUGUGCAUCUGGAUUUUGGGGACCUAUCUAUACCAUAUACUAAACUUUAUUACUAAAAAUGUUCAUAAUUUGGUAUUUACCCGUGUUAUCCACAGUUUCACUACAAAAUAUAUACCAAUCCAAAAUUUGGAGAUUUUCCCAUAAAAAACACGCGAAAUUAUAGGCGCCAGAUCUGCAUGUGAUCCUAUCACCAUUAAAUUCGAAUUUUGAAACGGAAGGAAAUCUCAUUGUUGCGUAAUUCUCUCCUUAUCCAUAUAUUUUCCACCACUGAUAGCCAUUAGAAAGCUUGAAAGCUUUGAAUUCAAAUUUCGGUUUUCAAAAAUCAUUAUUUAUUUGGAUUGGGUGUUGUUGUAAAUAAUUCGGAUUAUGUUUAGGAGUUUAUAUCUAAAUUUUGAGGGAUUUUGGUGAAGAUUAGACUUGGUUUUCACUGAAUUUCAGAUUGAAACUCGCCGAAGAAGAAGACGACAUAUUUCCAGAAUUGUAGUUAAAUUGUAGAUAAUUGUAGAAUUAUAUAUAAAUUGUAGAUAUAAUAUAGAUAAAUUGUUGAUUGGGAAGACUAAAACUUCUACAAGUCUUCUACAAUUAUGUCGAAAAUACCAAUUAUGCUACAAUUAAAAUGGGAAUUGGGAUAUUAAAAUUCAAUAUAUUCAGUUUGUAGAUAUCAUGUCCAAAAUCCCAAAGUUGAAAAAAAAUCUAUUCUUCCAUAUAUUCUCCACCAUUGAUAGCCAUUAAAAAGCUUGAAAGCUUUUGAAUUUAAAUUCUGGUCAUUACUUGUUUAGAUUGGGUGUUAUUAUAAAUAAUUCGGAAUAUGUUUAGGAGUUUAUAUCUCAAUUUUGAGGGGGUUUUGGUGAAGAUUAGACUUGGCUUUGACUGAAUUUCACAUUAAAACUCGUCGAAGAAGAAGAAGAAGACAUAUUUUCAGAAAUUGUAGAAAAAUUAUAGAAUUGUAGAUUGAAAAGACUAAAACUUCUACAAGUCUUCUACAAUUAUGUCGAAAAUGCCAAUUAUACUACAAUUGNNNNNNNNNNNNNNNNNNNNNNNNNNNNNNNNNNNNNNNNNNNNNNNNNNNNNNNNNNNNNNNNNNNNNNNNNNNNNNNNNNNNNNNNNNNNNNNNNNNNNNNNNNNNNNNNNNNNUUCUACAAAUAAACUACAAAUCAGUUUAAGUAUUGUAUAAAGUUGUAUUGUUUUUAAGAGUAUCUACAAAAUUAUUACAUUUAUACUACAAUUAAACUACUAUCUUAUGUCAAAAAAAAAUAUUGAUAACAAAAUUUGCUCUUCAUCUAUAAAAUUUCUACAAAAAAACUACAAAAAAAAAAU
RNAcentral lists this long non-coding RNA (54369 nucleotides) under Nicotiana benthamiana. RNAcentral describes it as "long non-coding RNA (NBEN_LNC017988)". Lineage: Eukaryota; Viridiplantae; Streptophyta; Magnoliopsida; Solanales; Solanaceae. The record is from RNAcentral.